CGACUUCUCAAGGUCGCAUGGAAGCUCCCCUUGUAAGAUACUAUCCAAAAGAGAUGCCCUAUGUGACUGAGAUUCUACACUGGAAUUGGUAGUAGCAGAUUUCGUGGAUUUUGACGGUGUGGUAGAACUUGCUCCACCAACAGACAACCUAUUCACUUGGCUGUCUGGCCUCUGGUACAUGAUGGUGUAAAUAUCAUUGAAUCUGCUUCCAUCACUUGAGACUAGAUCACUGCCACCAAACCUGUCAUCAUCAUCUUCAUCUAGCAUAAGUUGUCGCUGUACAGCCUGAUAAAUCGUCAAAUGCCUACUAAGUUGUUUUCCUGCCGCAGUAAAUAUCAACUUAGAGGGCUCAUCUGAACUUCGAUUUAGGGUACGUCCAUGCAAGUCCCUACUUCCCCUGAUACCUCUACCACUGGCAGCUCCAAGCCCAGCCAUCGCUGCAGCAGCAAAGGAGAGUGCACCUCUAGAACCAUAGGAAUUCCCAAUGCCAGUAUCAAUAGAAUCAGAUGCCCUUGCUGCUGCGGCUCCACUAGUGCCUCCAGAAGCUGGAUUCAUUUGUCGGCCGCUGGUUGCUAGACCAUCAUCAUCCACUGAGUCCGCCAAUUUCACAUCAUGGACUUUAUCAGGCGUGCACAUGGGAAGACUGUCAUCCAAAACCUGGACAUGAAAGUAUAUAUGAUUGUGAAGGUAUUGAAAGAAAAUCAAGAGCACAUGUAAGGUACAAAGCCAAAGUUAUUGAUAGCAGCGAGAUAAAUAUGAGAAAUAGGGGCAUAAGCUAGUAAAUCUACUUGGUCUAUUCUAAAAAGAAAAGGUUCCAAGUGAGUUCGGCUUAUCAACAAAACAGACUCAACAAGGCAAGAUAAUUCGAAAAUAUGAAAGCUGUCAAGCUUUAUUGCCAAAUGCAAUAUCUAUUACGGUGUUAGCAAAAACAACAAUCGCGGAGAAGAAAACCAAAGGACAACUUACAUCUUCAUUAUCAUCAUCUUCAUCAUCAGAAAUGUCAUCCUCUUCAAUCACCAAGGCAUCAUCAAUGUCGACUGGGGAUAUUUCCAAUUCCUCAUCCUGCAAGGCAUACAAGUAAGAUUGUGUUGAGUAAGUAAAUCACACCACAAGAUCAUGAUGUAACGAAGUAACGAAGUAACGAAGUAAAACAUUUAUGUUAUCAAAAACUUAGCACUGUAACAUGCCUCAGAACUGGAGUCUCCGCUAGCUGGUUUCAUUUGAGUAUCUUUGUCAAGAACAGCUCUCUUUUGAGCAUUGCUCCUUGUUUGAGGCCCCUUAUCCGCCUGAGCCGGUUUCAUAACGCCUUUACCUUUUCCUUUCGAUGAGCUGGUACCUUUCUCAUGCACAGGAUCUUUCUUUGAAGUAUCACCGAUGUUAAUUGCCGAUCGAGAUCUAGAAGAAUGACGACGAGUGGUUGAAGCUGGAGUUGACGAAGAUGGUGAUGAAACACCAGCACCGCUAGGUAACGUGCCUGGCUCUGUAUUGCCAAUAGGCGCUGCCGGCUUCAGAGCAGAUUCACUCCGUUGAACUCGGGGCCACAGAAAUUCCUCCACUGCUGCUAAGCUUGCCAAUGGAUCUAUAAGUACAAUAUUGGAGGAGUAAUCACGUAGUGUUUUCUCUCCAGAUGCUCGGCAUAAUCGCAACUUUAAAGGAUGUGCCAAAGCACUCAAACCCGAGGAGAGCCGAGCACUUCCACUUAGUGACCUUGAGGGAUGGCUAAGGACAACAGGAAAGCGCUCCAGUGACGAUAAAGCAUUUUGAAGUUUCUGAAUCAAAACUGUCAUAGGAGGGACCUUUCCCUCAUUACCAUCAAAAGGAAGAGCGACUUCUAGAAAAGCUUUAAACCUUCUGAGUCCCUCCUGGCGAAGUUUGGGCAAAUUAAGUUCGGAGAUCUUCUCUUUGGAAAAGUAUCCACAAGAAAAAUAGUUAAGCAAUGCUGCAACCACACCACUGCCAAUAAACUCAAAAGUUGAGACACCAUCCCCUUUACUUAUCUCGCCAAGUAUCUCAGAAAUGACACCAAUCAAGUACUCUUCCUUGCUAGCAGAGAAAUCGCCAAGGAAUGGCCCAGAGGCUUUAGAUUUUCCCUUUCCUUUCACUUUAUGAUCAUCUAUACCAGCAGUUAGCUUCGUGCAAAGAUUCUUCAGAUGUAAAAGAUCAUCUGUAACUCCAACAUCAACAUCCCCACCAUCAGACGGGAAGUACUUGUCUUUGAAUGCUUUGGCGCAGGAACUAACUGUUUCCCUUAGCAUGAAGCUAGCUGUAGGAGUAUCAAGGGAAUUAUGGUUUGCCCCUAUGGUAAGGGACGCAGGAUUCUUAGGCUCUUCCGACUGGUUUCCAUCGGAAUUGGCAUUACUACUGCGCCGUCUAUAACGCCUAGAUCGUGCAGAUCCGGGUACACAGUCAUUGUCCUUAUCAGUAGGUGAGGCAUGGGAUGGUUUACCAACCAAGACAAGUUGAUCUACAGCAUGGACUACCCCUUCCCUCACAAACACUUUCGAGAAUGUUUCAGGAAGCUUUUCCAUCAAAAUCUCUGCAACUUGUAGAGCAGGAACCAAGACCUGUGGGUCUUUCCAUGCCAAGACACCAGCCAAGAAGCUACAUAAGAAGAAAAAAAUGUAAGAAGUUGCACACACUGUCGUGUCAAACUUAAUUUAUAUCGUAAACAGCAUACCUCGAAAUAUUUGUGUCACCAAUUAGAGAUUGAAUCAUUUCUGAACUGCUGAAAUACAUCAACUUUCCAAUGACUGAGAGACAUUUAUGGCGAAUCGUACCAUUGACACUAGAACCAUAGAUCUGUUGCAAAAGAAAACAAGAAUAAUUAGACAAAACAGCAGGUAGUAUGAGCAUUAUCUUGUAGCCAACGCAGAGAAAAAUUACCUGCACUAAAACUGGAAGAAGAUCCAAUCCAAACUGCUGCAGAAGUUCAGGUUGAUCACCAAGUAAUUUUUCUCUUGGUGAAAUUUUUAGAAUAUCUUCUUGUUUUCCUGAAGUACUUGGACUAGAUUUCUUUUGGCAUGAACCUUUCACAAGAGCGUUUGUGCUAGUAGGAAGAGAGAUAACUCCUUCUGGCAAUGGAGGGAGGAGCUCAUUCGCUAGGUUGACUAUCUCAUAAAUCUAAUAUAUAAAGCAAAAUUUAUAGAUUCCAGAAUUAGAGACCAUGAGAUAAAAAACCUAGAUCUAACAUAAGAGCAGAACAGGCAUAAGAGUACUCCAACAUAAGUACAGAUUAUAAGACCUGUAUAUAGACUAUGAUCAAUACACUAUACAAACACCUAAGUAAAACUUGGUAAUACAAAAACAAGUAGGAAACUAUGCCCGAAAUAGAGAAUGUACCCUAAAUUUAAGCUAUUCUUAUUUCAGUCAGGUAUUAAACAGAAAAGGUAAUUACCUGAUCUGCAGGCCGGCUCAGUGCUGGGGAUACAGAUGCAUUAGCAGAGACCCCAGAACCCAACAGAAUAUCCUUAAGAAUGCUACUAAUACCAAGAAGAAGUAAUGUCCUGAAUCCAAGAGGUGACCCGCUCGCACAGGUAGAAAGUAAUCGGAUUAACCCCUGUGCACAAUAUGGUGAAAAUGUCAUCUUGUGUAUAAGGAUAAAUAAAACACAAUAAAGAUUUUACGCUUACCGUGUAUGUUGACACACUAAGAGAUGCUUGCCCACCUCCUGAAUUGCUCGUGGAAAUAAGAGACGCAGCUUGCGUCACCAGGCCAUGGUUACAUAAUUCAUCUAAUUUCUCGGGAUACGGUGCAAAUGCUUCAGCAAUUCGAGUCAGACAGAUAGAAGCAUAUUCCAAAACCUACCAUCAUACGAACAGAUUAUGGAGGAGACUGGGGUAAGAGCGGAACUAGAUAUUAGUACCAUAUUAUAACAGAAAGCAGGUCAAUUACCUUCGAAUCAUGAUACUGAAGUAGGUUUGUCAGCAAAGGUACAGCUUCCAUAACAUAAUCAGAUGCAUCAGAAGGUAGUUUCUUGCACAUGUUGGCAGCAGUAGAUAGUGCUACGCGCUACAAGAAGCCAAGUAACAUGUGCAUUAGAUACACGAGUAAGUGUAGCAUAAAAGAGAAGUUAGAAAUUUACCCACCUGAACACCAGUGGAGAAGAAAUCCAGAUACGAGAGCACAGCCAUAAGAGCACCAGCUCGCAAACAGGCAGUUGGGUGCUCCUGAGAUAUCUUUUUGAGAGCUUGCAGAGACUGUUUUAAAACACAUACAUAAAUACGAAUCAAAUUUCAAGUGUGAUCCCUGAAGAAUUUUUAAAAAAGCAGCUGGAGCAUCGAGGAUUCAAGUAUUGGUAUGAUAGCCAACCUGUUCCGCCAAGUCCAUGUAUUCUAUGGUUAGCAAUCUGGCCACCAAGCAUGAAACUGCCCCGUAAUGUACAACAGCAGCACAAGAAGACGGCAAGACAUCACAUAGAUGGGUAAGAGCCCUGGCAGCAAGAAGCAUAAUGUCGGGAUUGCUUUCAUGGUUAAGUAGACCGACAAGAACUGGGACGAAGGAAUCAACAGAGAAGGUGCUAAGCGAGUCUUCGGUCCCAAUGGAUAACAUCUCACAAAGCUGGGUUAAAGCCUCGACCUGUUUUCCCUCUUCUCCUUCAGCGCGCAAGCCAGAGAGAAUCUUCUUCAUCCUUCCAUUCAAGUGGGAGGAAGAAGCAGAGCCGAUACCGGAAGAAGGAAGCAAGUCAUCCAAUCCAGCACCGAGCUUCCUGAGCAAGCCUUGUAAAGCACUGCUCGCAGAGCUCAUGUUAGGAUGCAUGAAACCGCCGUUGCCAUCCUCACUGUCAUUGUCGUCAUCCUCGUCAGCGCUCCUAGCAGCGGCGGCGGCAGCAUCCAUGUUGAGUUGUUCUCUGGCUCGGUCUCUUUCUCUUUCACGCUCCCUAAUCCUAACGUCAUGUUCCUUCUCCUUACCUUUGUCAGAAUUAUCGUUGUUGUUUCCCCUGUUACCACGUCCGCCUCGGCGAAAUCCAGAAGAGUCGGUGGAGGUGUCCAUGGGAGCAGCGGCGGCGGCAGAGCGAGAAGAACGAGAGCGGGUGGUGGUGGAGGAAGAAGGAGGAGUGGGGGCAAGUGAGGAAGAAGAAGAAGAAGAAAGACGAGCGCGUUUGCUGCGGGUGGUGGGACCAGAGGCAGAGGGAGGAGGAGGAGGAGAAGAAGAAGAAGAAGAUGGGGCAGCUGAGGUCGCCUCCGCCCGCUUGCGGCUCCGAGUUUCCAUACAAAGGAAGAAACCCCGAGUUUCCGAUUCGCUCGAUCAGAAAGAUUCUGAUCGGACACUCGCUCGCAUCUCACUCAGAUCAAUUCACUCCAGGGAUCCAAUUGAAACUCGCACGAAACCCUAAUUAGCCACCGGAAUUAGUCGAAAACGCCAGAGAAGAAGAACCUCUCAAAUCGAACCCAGAGAGCUAUUGAGAGAGCAUGAUGCGAAUCAAACGAAUUGGAAAUCAACAAAGGGAUUGAGAAGAGAGAUGGAAGAAGAAGGAAGGAGGGGAUCCAAUUUGGGCAGAGACGAUGAAAAGAGAGAUUAGAAGAAGAAAACCCUAAAUCGAGAGAGUCCGUCGACUGAUGAAUAAAAUAGAAGAAGACAUAUAAAUAUUAUAUAAAAAAAGAAAAGAGAGAGAGAGAGAGGCGACCGGGGACGAAUACGGUAGCGUUUUGUUCUUUCCUUACCACAACAAGUGACUGACACGGCGAUCGGGCUACGUGUGUUUCCUUCACUCCAUCGAACCCAUCUCAUACGAUGUCGUUUCGUAUCAUACCCGGUCCUUCCUGCGUUUUUAAGUUUUUUCACAUUUGGAAAAAUAUAUCACACAAAACUUGAGGGCCUCUUUGUAAUUGGAAUAAAACAUAUUGUUGUAUAAAGGCCGGGCCCGUCCAUCUGUUAUAGAUCGUACUCUGCAAAGGCUUUCAUAGAGAUUUUAAAGCCCAUUAGUUGUAGAGCGCUUCACUUUCGUUGUAUAUAUAAACUACUCAAUGACAUGUAUAUACGUUAAUAUAUAUAUAAACAAUUUAAGGUAGAGAUUUGGUUUUUCAUGUGGUUCGGUAGAGAUUUGGUUGUCUUUUCUUCUUCUACUACUUUUUUUCUAAAACAAGACAUCUUUGUUAAGUAGAUUACAUAGAUCAUUUAUAUUACAAAAAAUAAUGGAAAAUGCAAUUACCUCUUUAUUUUGUUUGGUUGGAAUUUAUAGUCUGGGACACUAAUUUGAUUCCAAUUCCAUACUUAAUGAAAACCAGGGACGACACUAGUGAUCACUAUUAUGAAUUAUGAUUUACCAAGGCCACACCCACUCAUGAACGAGUAAUUGUUCUUUUUCAUUUUACUGUCGUAAGAGUCUCGUUUGCAAUUUUUUUGUUUUUUUGGUAUCAAAAAGUUACAAUUUCAUUCCACUUCAAACAAAAAACUUUAAUUAAUAUCAAUCAUAUAAUCUGCAUACCCGAAGCUUGCGUUCGUUCCUUAUGACUGUUUUUUUGUCAUUGAAACUAUCUGCCAGCGGAAAUAUGUAUUUGCUUCAAAAAAAUUUGUUACAUGUCGUGAAAGACCAUAUAUAUUUUUGUUUCUUCUUCCUCAAGUUUCGUCUUUAUAUUAAAUAUCAAAGAAAAAGGAUUUUCCAACACAAAUUAUAGUAUAAGAUUGCGCGGGGAAUCUAAUUUCGAAUCUAGUUUAUUCGUUAAACUCAAGAUCAUUCUCUUAGAAACUUUGUCAUAGUUGGUUCGGUUAAUUUGGCUUAUCUUUGUUUUCUUUUGAUAAUUUGGCUUAUCGUAUUGUUAUAUCUCUUUUUCCACGAUAGUGGUUUGUAUUUACCAAUUAACAAGAAGAAAGAAAAAUGUAACAAACAAGAAAAGGCUCGGCAAAGAAAUGAAAAAAUCUCAACUUAAGAAAUAAAAAUGUAGACGCACAAUUAAAUACCUUCACAUUUAUAUACAUUGGUGGAUAUGGACCUCUCUAUCCCUAUUAUAUUCCACUCUUUACAAAUGGUGUGGUGUGACAAGUUAUGUGUAUAAUUAAUCAUCCACCGUCACCAACCAUCCACCUUAUUUUCACGUCUCGUAAGGGAAACAGAUCAUAGUAGCAUCUUACUCUUCUGAAAUUAAAGACUCUAUCAGUUUAUCACAACUCAACUAUUAUGGAAAACUUAACUUAUUCUUUGGUCGUCAAUAAAAUCUAAUCUUUACCUUGAGAUCAAGGUGAUCUUAAUUCUUGUAUCUGAAUACGCAAAGUUGAAAUUAAAUAUCAAACAAAUGAAUCCAUUAUUAAAACAAUAAUAAUAAAGUGGAAGGUGAACCAAAUCCCACGUCCCAACCGCAUACGGACCUAAAUAAUAUAUAGUUUUUUUUUGUUUUUGGCAGCAACCUAAAUAAUAUAAUUAUCCUACUCUUUUUUAAUAUCAGUAUAUUUACUUAAAGAAAAUGCCAAAUUAAUCAGUACAUUGUGAUUUCGCUUCUAUAUUAUAUUUGUGACACAAGUUUUGCUUUUAUAUUAUAGCACAUCGCUAUUUCCUCCACGUCAUUUACAAUCCCAUUAGUAGUACUACUAACAAGUAAUAACAUAUUAUUCCUAAAACAAAAAAACAAAAAAAAACAACAGAGAGAAUAAUUCACCUGGAGAACUAUUAUUCUCCCAUGAUGUUAAAAAACGUUUUGCAUGUAGUGUUGCUGCAUUUGGUUUUUCAUAAAACAAUAUUACGAAUUUGUCUCUUACAAUUUAGUUGCAAGAAAAAAGAAAGAGCAGUAAAUAAGUUAAUUGGGUAUAAAUAGUGAAUGUGAAAAACUGACUGAUUGGGGUUUAAUUUUGAUUCAGAUGUAAAUGGACGUAAACUUUUGUUGAUGAAUUGAAGAAUCUUGGCCUUUAGCUAAGAACCUAACCUUCUAGAAGAGGGCCAUCAUCAUGCAUGAGGUGAGUGAUUUUGUACCAAUAGAUUAAACAAAUUGAAAUUCAACUACUCUCUCUCUCUCUCUCUCUCUUUUUCGGUUUUUUCAUCUUUUUCAAUAAACCAUUAUUCUUUUUCGUUUCUUCUCACAUUUUCCACCUAACUUACCAAAUUUCACAAUUAAGUUCAACUUUUUUUGUUUAGCAUACAUGGACAGUACACAGUAGAUACUAUAGUUUAAUUAUUCUCUCCUAUAUACUGUUAUGUGUUCUAUUCUUCAACUAUUCUCCUGACAUACGAAUUACUACAUACGUAUAUGAUUAGUGUUGUCGAUCGUAUUCUAAAAAUAUAGAUACGAUUAGUGCUAUAAUAAUAUUCCGUCCAGUUAGAGUUCAACAUUAUUAAAAAAAUAUCUCUUAAUAAGUCUUGAUUUUUCAAGUCUCUAAUAUGAAAGAAAUAGAAGUUGGUUAGAGAAAACCAUUCUAAGUCAAGGUUCUAGAAGGCACAUUCUUUAAUUCAAAUAGUUUAUCAUAUAUGUAUAUUUCUAAUUUAUAUGUAUGUGUCAUGGUGGUUCUUGUUGUAUUGUUUUUAUACUGAAAUAUUAAAGAAACAUGAGCAUCAUCACAAAUAUUUUAAACAUGAAGUGCUUGUCAUUUGGUGAGAGUAAUUUGAAAACCAUAUAUAAGUUACAAGUUAUCCUGCCCACACAUAUAAUUAGUUAUUUGAUAAUGCUUUGUUUAAUUAGCAAGUGAUUGUAUUAGGGUUAAGUUCUAGAUAUAUUAUUGAUUAAAAAAACAAUAACUAAUCCAGUGCAGUCUAUAUAUUAGAGAAAAGACUGUUGACCAGUACAACAAAAACCUCAUAGGCUAUAUAGUUGACCUGCACUUGUCCAAAAAACACUCAUUAACUUUACCACCUACCUCCACUACUUCAUUAUAUCUUCUCUUCGUUAUUGCUACCAAAUUAUUCAAGUUUCCCCUUCCUUUGUUAGACCCAAAUUUUUACUUGUGACCUAUAAUAUCUGGCGAUAAAAGCCAUUCACAAACUUUUUGUUUUACUGAAUUUUAGGUUUUCUACAUUAAUUUUCACCCGCCUAAGUUUUACUACAAACUUAAUUCAUACGAUAGGUAAGAGACUCCAAAAAAAUAAAAAUAAAUUACUGUUUGUACUAAAUCGGUCGAAGUUAAAAGACGAUUUGUCAAUAAAUGUACACAGUCGAAUACUCGAAUUGUCAUGUAUUGAUUAAUUUCUUGACAGAGUUGGUUUAUAUUUUGUACUAAAUAAAACUUGUUGCAAAGUAAAAAAAGAAAGAAAAAAAAUUAAAGAAGUAGCUAAAUAAUUUUGGUUUAUGUAUAUACGAACACGAGAAAUUUCUUUGAUUACAUAUAUAUAUAUAUAUAUAUAUUUAAGUGAGAAAUAUUAAAUUUGUUGUCAUGAUUAUUAAAAAAAUGUCAUAGCUUUAUCAAAAGACUAUGAUGCCAUAUAUGUCAAGCUUCUCACUUAUUGUACCAAAACGAAAGGCCACCAUACACUACUCAUUCAAAUCCAUCCCACCAACUCACAUCUAGAAGCAAUUAUAAGUUCAACUCUCUUUCUCUCUCCUUUUCUAUCAUCUAGAAGCAUUUGUGUAUAUAUAUAUAUGUGUGUAUAUUCCUCUCUAGCUUUAAGUCAAAACCCUAUAUAAACUAUACACCAAAGCUUUGAACCUUCAACCAAACCCAAAAUCCAAGUGCCCCACCAAAUGCUUCAAUCCUCUUCCACUACACAAAAAAACAACUUAAUCCCUUUAUACCCUUUUAGCCAAAACCCUCGCUAAAAGCCAAUCCCUCAAUAUAAAAUAACAAGUAGAAUUGAUCUGCCUAUAUAUAAGAUUUUGAGACGAAAUAAGAUCUAAACCACAAGAAAGAAAGUAAACAUAAAAGUAUGGGAAGGUCACCGUGCUGUGAGAAAGCUCACACAAACAAAGGAGCAUGGACGAAAGAAGAGGACGAGAGGCUCGUCGCCUACAUUAAAGCUCAUGGAGAAGGCUGCUGGAGAUCUCUCCCCAAAGCCGCCGGACUUCUUCGCUGUGGCAAGAGCUGCCGUCUCCGGUGGAUCAACUAUCUCCGGCCUGACCUUAAGCGUGGAAACUUCACCGAGGAAGAAGACGAACUCAUCAUCAAGCUCCAUAGCCUUCUUGGCAACAAGUGAGUACUAUACUCUCUAAAUAUGGGCUUAUUUAACUAGCUAGUAUCGUUUAUACCCAAAAAAAAACAAAAAAAACUAGUAUCGUUUUAAUUUAUACAAAAUGAAAAUCUUGGAGUUUUCAAUCUAUCUAAAUGAUGUUAUUUUUUGUUGAUGAUAUAUAGAUGGUCGCUUAUUGCCGGGAGAUUACCGGGAAGAACAGAUAACGAGAUAAAGAACUAUUGGAACACGCAUAUACGAAGAAAGCUUAUAAACAGAGGGAUUGAUCCAACGAGUCAUAGACCAAUCCAAGAAUCAUCAGCUUCUCAAGAUUCUAAACCUACACAACUAGAACCAGUUACGAGUAAUACCAUUAAUAUCUCAUUCACUUCUGCUCCAAAGGUCGAAACGUUCCAUGAAAGUAUAAGCUUUCCGGGAAAAUCAGAGAAAAUCUCAAUGCUUACGUUCAAAGAAGAAAAAGAUGAGUGCCCAGUUCAAGAAAAGUUCCCAGAUUUGAAUCUUGAGCUCAGAAUCAGUCUUCCUGAUGAUGUUGAUCGUCUUCAAGGGCAUGGAAAGUCAACAACGCCACGUUGUUUCAAGUGCAGCUUAGGGAUGAUAAACGGCAUGGAGUGCAGAUGCGGAAGAAUGAGAUGCGAUGUAGUCGGAGGUAGCAGCAAGGGGAGUGACAUGAGCAAUGGAUUUGAUUUUUUAGGGUUGGCAAAGAAAGAGACCACUUCUCUUUUGGGCUUUCGAAGCUUGGAGAUGAAAUAAUAUUGUCAAAUUUUAGGCGUAACUGUACAAAACUUUUGCCUAGAUAAUUUGAAAGUAUAUCUUCAACUUGUAUGAGAAAUUUAACUGGUGAAUUAUAAUAUAUAGAAUUUGUUUUUUUUUCUCUUUUACAAAUUAACUCCAUUGGCAUAAAUAUUAAAUACCGGAUCUAGACGAUCGGUGAUAAAAAUAUAGAUCAUUAGAUCGUAUAGCUCUAUUGUAAUUAAUUUGUAUACGAUUAAGAUUAUCAGUUUAUGAGGUAAGAUUAGGUUGGUUGCCCAAAUAACUCGUUAUCCAAUGUUGGAGAUAAGCCAAAUAAGGAGAAAAAAGAUUACGAGUAUGGCAAAGAUACUUGAUCACAUAAUACUUAGAUUGUACUGGUAUAGAUGAUACCUUGUUAAGAUCUAUAAUUAAAGAUCUAGGAGAAGAACGUGAAACAGAAGAUAAAUCGAAAAUGUUUCAUGACAAGUGGAAAGUGAGGUUUGUAGUUAAUUUGGCAGGAAUAGAAAAGUUGUAAGAGAAGGAGGUAGGAGAAAACUUAAAUGUUUUUAAGAUAAAAAAAGGAAAGAAAGAGAUAUGUGAAAAAGAAAAAGAAAAUAAUGAAAACCAUAAAUGAAGGAAAGGAAGCAACAACCAAUGGACCCUUUCUUCUACCAAACUCUAUUUAUUUCUCACUACCCAUCUCCCUACCAACCUAUAUACCAACCUUUCCUCAUCUUUUGUCCACUUGCAAGCGAUCUACAUCUGCAUACAUACAUACAUACAUACAUACAUACAUACAUAUUACACAUGAAUGCAUAACAUACAUAUACUGUAUAUCCAUAUACCACAUAAUAUAUUUAUGCAUGCAUGCAUAUAAAAAUUAUGUAUAGGAGUUUCAUUGAAUGUAGCCACAUGGUUGAAUUUAGAAAGAGUAGCGACUCGUAAACUUAAACAUUGUUCUAUCGUAAGAUGCUUGGUAAAAUCGGUGUUGUACAUGUUCCUUCGUUGAUAUCCUCUCCUCAACACUACAAAAACCCUCUCUAGCUACUACAUUAAUUAUCAUCUCAAAUCCCAAUAGAGCAGUAUAUUAUUUCCUCGUAUAUAUUUAGAUUUAGUUUUAAAAUUGAUCAAAUGGUUAUAUACUCCAGUUGUGUGUUUGUUUUUUUGUUUUGGCCAAAAAUUGGUAAGAUCUCAAAAACUGGUAUAAUCACUUGAGAAAUUAUAUGAUCACCAAAUGACAAGUUGUUGUCACUAGCACUGGGGCUUGAUAUAUAUCAUAUUCUGAUGAAGAUACAAACUCAACAAUAAUGGAAUCAAUAAGAGUUUUCUCAGGUUGCAUCAACUAAUGAAACAAAUUUAAAGUUGGAAAAAAAAACAAAAUCAGUUGAAGUCUAAAAUAAAGUUGAGAACGUUUGAUUAAUUUCGAACAUCGAGAUUUAACAGUGGUUGGGUAAAUAUUAUGAAAGUGAAGGAAUAACAAAAAAAAACAUGUAGAAGUUGAUAGAGGAGGAUGAUAUUUUGGAAAUGAAAGAGAUGGGAGAGGAGGAGUGGUGAGAACUGAAGAUAAGGAAAAAGGGGAAAAGGACAAAAGGAUGACCACACACACAGACACAAGUGAACAAAGACAGACGCACCUGCCUCCUCUUCCUUCUUCUUUCUAAUAUUAUUCAUUUUCAUUUGUAAAGAAACGACUUUUUCAAAAGGUGUUAGGUAGAUGCAAUAGAAGCUUCUAUCAGUUUUUCUUCUUUCUUUUUUUUUAUGUUAUAGUUUGUGAGUCUUGUGACUCUUUUUGUCUUUCCCUUUCUUGCUCUAAAAGGGAACAAAGAAAUUUCGUCACUAAUAAGUUUCCCCAAUAAAAAGUCUUUAACGAUAGUCAUAUUUAGCAAUUCAAUUUGUUUGUGUAGCAUAGUUUACACGUACGUAGAUGAUCAAAACUACAGCUCGCAUGUGGCAAUUAGCAGACAAAUACACAUAUCUUGGGAUAAAUAUAAAUUAAAUAAUGCAAAUAGAUUGCAAUUAGCAGACUAAUAAGCGCAUAUAAAAAUUAGAUUGCAAAGAACAAAAAAACGAGCCAACAGUAGAACAAAGGAAUUAAGUACCUAACUGCCACGUGGGACUUUAAUUACUUGGAGAAAAACAUAACUUCGCAGAAAUGUGAGCAAAAUUUAAUUACCAAUGUAGACUUUUUGCACUGUCGUAAGAAUAUUUCAGAUUUGACACUUGUGCAAGGUUCAUUACGAAUUUAGGACUCGCUAUUCUACUGAAUUGAUCGAGAGACCUGUAACAAAUAGGCUUACUUUCUAAGAGCCCAUUGACAUAAAGUCCAAUAAAAAUUAAGAAGGAAGCUAGUCCUUGACUCGUACAAUAACAACAUUAUAAAAAGGCGAGAGAGAGAGAAAAAAACAAAUUUCACAAGGCAGAGAGAUUAGUUAAAUUCAGUUCCAAUCUCUAUCAAACCAAAGAAACAAGAGGAAUUUUUAUUGAGACUCUCAGAUCCUUCUUCACUUCUUCUCAUCCUCGCCUUUUUUGCUACUACUCUCUUCCUCCUCGGUACGCUGUCAUUUUAACCAUAUACAUUUAUCAGAAUCUUCUUUUUCAAAUAACAAAAAGAUGUAAUCAUAAACAUCAACAAAGACACACCUUUGACUCGUCUGGCAGAGACGCUAGUAGUUCUUUAACUGCCGGAUCAUUUGGAUCCACCCCAGGAAGCUGCGUGUACACAAAGUCUUAGUACCAAAGCUAACCCUACUACUUUUCUCUUUCAUUUUGCUUGUGAAAAAAACUGACUAAGGUUUAUGUAGGCUUACCGAUGAGAGAACAGACGAUAUGAAGGCUUGAUUUCCCAAGAGGUUGUUUCCAGCACCUGUAGCUUCACUUGACUCUUCCCCACUCAUUGACAUUUGCAGAGCUGCACAUGGAGUAUAAAAAAAUAUAAGAAAAAUGCCAAUUUUGAUUGCCAUGGAUAUACUUUUACCACACUGUUCUACUUACCUAAAGCCAGAUCCUGGUCCUCAUCAGCCGCUUCUGACAUAUUCACAUCACCAACAGACAUAGCAAUUGCCUGAUCUAGCAACGCACUGUCCUCAUCCUGCCACAAAAGGUUGUAUGAUUAACAAUCUCUCCGCCUGUGACUAUAUAAGAAUGCUACACUCAAUUUUAAGUAACAACUAACCAUUGGUUCAGCGUUCUUGUCAGUUGUCCUAGCAACUGUCUCCUGUGAGGCGGAAGCUGUGUCCCCAUCUUUGUCUUUCUGACCUGCCUCAUCGGCCGCCUUCUUGGCAGCAGCUUCUUGUCUUGCUCUCUCCUCCUCCAUGGAGACCCGAAGGGCAAGAGCAAGUUCUGGAUCGAUAUUUGGGUCCACACCAAAGUCGAAGUCCCCACCUGCGGCCGCUGCAGCAGCUGCCGCAGAAACAUAGCCACUUGCACCCUCAUCACCCGUGAAUACAGGUGUGCUGGAAGAAAAUUUAAAAGUUAAAACACUAUCUAUGAUUCAAAUCACUGUCUAAAUGUUUUGUUGCAGCAUUGAUAAAAAGCAAGACUAGAGAGCUCAAAAGACCUAAACACACAAAACCACAUGAAGUGCACCUACCAAGCCGGAUAUUGUUGAAACUGUUCCUUUUACAAUCUACAUAACCUAGAAAAAAAGAAGAAAAGGGAUGGUACCUGAGAAGCACAUCUGAGAGAGCAUUGGCUCCAGAAGGAACAUGAACAAUGUGGCUACCGUCAUUGUUAUUCACAGCUGUAAGGAGCGCCUCGAGUUUCUGAGGCUUUUCCUCAUCAUCAUCCUCCCCGAAAUUGACAAUAUCAAGAGAGACACUAUUCUUCUUCAGCCUUUUUCCAACUAUCUCUAGGGCCUUCUUCUCGUACUUGAUUGGACUAAAAAGUAGAAGCAGAAGAAAAACAUCAGUAUAAAACUAUACAAAAGUUACUCAGCAAAAACAAAGCAAUUCGGUACCUUCCAGCAAAAACAAUAAUCCUUUGGCGUUGAUUCUUGUUUUGGCGAUGCUUAAGAGCUAGCUGGGCGAUCUGGAUAGCUGCGGUUAAGUUGAUCUCUCCUCCCACAUCAAGGCCUGAAAAGAUGACGCAAGUAGCAAAUUGAUGUCAAACUCAAUGAUAAAGAGAAAGAACAGAUUUUUUCUAAUUGCUCUAAGUAGACAGCUAAUAAUAAAUAGAAAGAUUGGAGAGAGAGAUACAUACCGUGCAUACAGGCCAGAAUUUUGCCAAGAUCAGAGGUAGGAGUAGUCAAUACUCUAACUCCUUUGCCAGCCAUUGUCAAAAUCCCCACCGUAUUCUCCGGAUUCGACUGCAAUUGCAAAAAAGAAAGAUCCCUAAAAAUCACAAUCUCACGCAAACCCAAAAACCCUAAUCGAAUCAAGUGAAAAAACGUAAAUUAUUACCUGGGUUUUGGCUCCGCAAAGAAGAUUAACAGCUUCCGUUUGCGCCUGUAACCUAGACGGAGAGUAAUCUCCGUUUCGCAUCCACUCGGAGUUGUCGAUACAUAUCAUAGUCGCCUACAACAAGAAAUCAUCGAUGAGAAAAAGCAUUCAACGUGGAUCAUCAACGAAGAUAAGCACAAGUAAUUGGAAAAUCACCUCGAGAACCAUCGUGUCGAUAAGCAGAGAGAAGCUUCAAAAAUUCUGUCGUAGAGAGAAAGUCAGGAAGGCAAGAUUUAGAUUUUAGUUUAGACCGAUAAUAAUAACAUUGUUCUUCUUUAAAUAUCCCCUUUACUUUUUUACUUUCUCCUUUUAGACCCUAAUGUUUUACGUUUAUUUCAAUUUAGCCCCAAUGGUUGUUUUUGAUAAAAAGCAAAACAAAGUUGAUUUAUUAAUGAAUAAAAGAAACACAGACCACAUUACAGUAAUUCCUAUAACUAAAGUCUUUCUUUUAUUCAACAUUGUUACCCCAUAACUCUACAAAACAUCAAUAUAAACCCCAAGAAGACAAACCACAGUUCACCAGAGAGGAAUUUACAACGGUGCUAACAAACAAAAAAAGAUACAACAAGCAGAGACGUUGGAUCAUCUUCUGCUAUGCAUUAAGAGCAUUUGGGAUGAGAGAAGAUCUUGUGCUUCUGCUGAUAGGCAAGUGAACAUAAACCUCGUGAACUUCCUGCUUACAUACAUCCCCUUUGUCUCUAUCAAUCGCGUAACAGACAUAGAUUGUGUCAAUCACAUCGUCAAGAACAUGUACAAAGAAAGCCAAUAUCACAAUCAGUAACACCCACGCCAGUACAGCCACCACGUACGAAUCUAUACCCAGGUUGCUCACUCCUCUCAGAACAGCCCAUGUCUGCUUUUGCGCAUCAUCAAACCCCGGAAUUAGUCAUUAUGGCAAUUAUUAAAUGCUUGGUUGGUGAGACAAGCAGAAGAUAAUACUUACCGCGACUGCAUAUGCGGCUGACAGGACAAAGACUAUUCCGGUUAGGAUUCUGGUGGAAACCGUUUCGACAAAUACAGCUGACAGUAGGUUGCGUCUUAACAGCUCGUAAGUCAUUUUCGCAGAGGUGCAAUACGCUUCCCCUGUUAUUGCAGCAAAGUUGAUGGUGAACUUGUUGAGAUAGUCAAGGGCACCAAGUAAGGCGUUUGCACAGCAACGGAGAACCAUGUUCACUAUUCCUUGUGUGUUCUCUUCUCUUGCAUUGUCCACAAUUGCCCGGACCACACGAACAAUGCAUAUGAGAAGUCCUGAUACACAUAUCGUACCAAAGGAUUGACCAAAUGCAUUCCUGAAGAGACAGAUACAAAAAAUAAUAAGAUUCACACAUGCUUUGACAUAAACCAACAACAGAUUUGAAGACUAAUGCAAAUUUGGAUCCUCAAAGCUAUAAUCUCCUUUCAAAAAUACCACUGUCUGUUGUCUCUUUUCACAUUUAAAGUACCAAACAAGUUCAGAUGAUGGAUUCCAAUACAAUAUCCAAUCUAUAAGGCCAAGACUAUGAAUACCAUGACCUAGAAUCACUGAAUACUCCAGAACGAAGCCAAGCAAGGGAUACUUCGAAUGACCAUAGAUUAUAUUUUAUGAGGAAACAAAACUAAGAGAACUCAAAGCAAAAACUCCCGCGAUCACACAAAACAUAUAUUAGAACUAAGAGCACCAUUGAUUGUAAGAGAAACUGCACAGCAAAUUCAUUGAUAACAAGAAUAAAAUAGAGAAAGAUGUGGCAGCGAGUCACCUCAAAGAACUCCGGAUGCAUUUUUUAGGGAUUGAGUCUUCCUUGGAGAAAUACCACUGAGCAAUAGCUCCACUUAUCACAUACACUUGCAUUUCCACCAUUACAGCAAGAGACCAGAUCAUCGUUAAAAUGGCAAGAGCGUAAUACGCAGGAACCCAAGAAUCUUCUUUCCACUCACAAAAGUACUGACCAUCCAACUCUCGCGGCACAAACUUCCCAUUAAACCUUGCAAACACCAAGAACACCACAAUCGGCGCAUAGUACACCACUAACCCGAGAGUCAGCAGCGGCAGCACAACAAAAAGUUUCAAAUUUUUGGACAAGGCAUCAGAUGCAACACUGAUGAUUUGGAUAGUAAGAUCAAUUCUGUGCCAAUUAGCUACUAUGAUCCAGACAAUGAUCCCGAUGAUCAAGAAAACAAAGACUAGGACAAGUAUUCUGUAAGCUAGAGGGAGGGCAUCGCUACAAGAAGAGCUAAGAGUACAGGCGACAAACCAAUAGACAUUGAAAAAGAUGGGAAAAAGGACAAAGAGAGGUAAACAAGCAUAAACAAUCUGCUUAGUGUAGUGUUUGAGCAAAAGCAGGACGCUAAAACAGAAGGGCACGCUUAAAAUAAGCGUUACAACAAGUGUCCAGAUCAAAUCCUUCUCAAAGACUGGAUCAGACGAAGAAACCAUGCCGUACAUGACACUCGAAGAAGCCCAGUAGUACCCAUCCGAAAUUUUCGUAAAGGUAGAAUUUUUGACGCAGGAGCUAGAGGUGAAAUCGUAGGUGAAGGAAGAGGAGUUCCCGUAAUCGUUAUUUCUAUGAAAAAUGGAGAAGAUUCCAAAACCAAAGGUGGAGAGUACGAGAAGAUCGAAGAGAAGUAGGAAAGGGAUGUCCUUGAAAGUUCUUGGGCCAAAAUUGUAGGAGAUCUGAAGAAACUGAGUUGGGUCGGAUUCGGGAUCACUUCGACGCGGAGAAUCGAGAGCGGACGUGGAGGGUUUAGAGAGAAGAGGGUGUGACGGAGAGGAUGAGUCGUAGAUUGCAGCGAAUUUAGUGGGGUCGCCGUCGUCCGCCGCCAUGGUCGUCCACAGAGAGAGAAGAAAGCUCCGCCUCUGGAGCUAAAUGAUGAAGAAGCUUAAGCAGAAGCAGAAGACGACGAAACUCAAUUUAGCAUUUUUUCUUAAUCACAAUAAUUAAUUAGUGACGAUGCCGACGACCACCGCCCAAGCGGCCAAGCGAAGAUGAUCCAAGAUCUCGCCACCACAAUGCUCAAAUUUAAUUCGUUGAUUAGUCACGUAUACAGGUAUUAUACCGUCCAAAGGAGUAUUAUUAUCUUCAUGUGCAUUAAAAUAUUAGUAUAGUUUCUUUUACCAGUAUUAAAAGAAAAAUUCACGAAGACAUUGAGACGGGCUUCGAAGAAAGUCUGAUAAGAGAAUUCUCAAAGCCCAACUAGCCGUAUUAAAGCCCAAAUCAUCGCAUGCAAGAGUAAUAGUCCUAACUCCUAAGGAGCGUGUGACUGCAUCACAAGGGCAGAUACGUUUGUUAACUUGGGCCCAAUUGUCACUUGUAAAGCUAAAUCUUUGAAAUCUUUUGAGAGUUUAAACUUUAAAGAUAUGAAAUUUAGCUAAAUUCGUACAAAUUUAUAUCCAAAUGUUGACAACAACGUAAUCUAAAAAUGCAUAGACGACAAUAUUGGUUUCCCUUUGUAUCAACUAACAAAAUUAAUUUUUAAAAUUUUGGUGGUUCUUUAGUUAUGGUAAUUGGUUCCUUUUGUAUUGUUUUCCAAAUAUUUGAGUUCUAUAAAAUAAGAAAUUAAAAACAUUAGUACAAAAUCUUGUAAAUUUAAAUUUCGAAUCAAACUAAAUAUGUUAAUUCAAAAUCUCUAACUUUUAAUUAUAUAUUUUAUAAUAAAGUAAAAAACUAUAUUCAAUAUUUUUAUUAUCAGAUAUAUCCAUCUCCUAUAGAAAACAAAUCUGGAUCGUAGCGUGAGUUUGCAUUUUGCAGGCGUGAGAGUUUUUUGCACGCACACACACACAAACACAAAACAAGCAAAUGGUAAGAUUUAGGUAAGAAACUUGUAACCAAAGCAUGCAUCAACCCGUGGUACUCUAAUAGGCUAGUAUCUAUAUAAAAGCACAACUUCACAUGACAAAAAAAACCACUUCGCAUAUAACAACAUCAUCACGUGAACUCACUCAAUAGGUUCAGUGUUUCUGACAUAUUGUUCCCUCUCUGAAUGAAACUCUCCCAAAUAGAGAAUGGCCUAACCACCUAUCCAACCGCAUCAAGGCACUUGGUUUCAUCCCCUUGAUUUCUCUCUUUUUUUCUUUUCCUAUCGCAGGAUUUUGUGUUCUUGUUUUGAAUAUGAAAUGUUCGUCGAUGUGUUGUUUGAUCCUCUUGGCCCUUUCUCUCCUCACCGCCUUCACUCUUGCUUCUUCGUCAAAUGGUACACACAAGUAUAUUAUAGCAUACCAUAGUAUAUAACAUACAUGUAUACAGAAUUUUAGCUUGAUAUAUGAUGUUUUUACUCUUCAGGUAUAGAUGGACCUUUCUACGACUCUACUGCCUACACAGAGGUUUUUAAAGCUUUGAGCUAUUAAUUCAAUUUCACAAGAUAUGUAAUUGCGCAUAGAUAGAAAGUAUAUAUACAUUAUGUGGUAUGUGAAAUGCAACAGUGUAGAGCCGAAGCAGAGAAGCCACUAUACAAUGGAGGAAUGCUGAAGGACCAAAAGCCUUCCGUCCCAGGCAAAGACUCUCUCACAGGCAUUGGUGCUCAUUACACACCAACUUACAUAUUGCACAAUCUCACACAGAACACCAUCUAUUGCUUCUCCAGUUAAGCAUUUCAUGCUUUCAUCUCUAGAAUGUUAUAUAUUCGUUAACAGAUGAAAUGAAUGUGAUGAUCUGACUGAUGGACACAGUAUGGGUGAAGAUAGAGGCUGGUGCUGCAUCAGCUCAUGUAAGAGCAAGGCUGAGAGCAGACAACGCCACAUUAAACUGCGUCGGUUCUGUAACUGCCAAACAUGGUUGCUGGUCUUUCCUCAAAGGAGGAUUCCUUCUUGAUUCUCCUUGUAAACAAUCCAUCCUCUUCUUUGAGGUAGAUUCUAUAUAUGCUCAAAAGUAUCUCAUUAGCUUAGAUGAUCCCAAAGACUGUAAAUUUUCUGAUAAUGCAGACAUCAGAGGACGAUGGUAAGAUCCAAUUACAAGUGACGAGUGCCUCUCUUCAGCCAUUCACGCAGGAGCAAUGGAGGAACAACCAAGAUUACUUCAUAAAUACCGUAAUACACACACUAAUUUCUAACGUUAAAAUCGCAAACUACAUUCUUUAUGUGGUUCCUCCUUAACACUUAUUUUCAGGCGAGAAAACGAGCAGUGACAAUUCACGUGUCAAAAGAAAACGGAGAGAGCGUUGAAGGAGCAGAGGUGACAGUAGAGCAGAUCUCUAAAGACUUCUCCAUUGGAUCUGCCAUCUCCAAAACUAUCCUUGGAAACAUUCCUUACCAAGUAAAAGACACUCGCUAAAGUCUACACUAAAACAACAAUGUCUUUGCUUCUUCAAACGGAUUCUGUUUUGAUAGGAAUGGUUCGUCAAGAGAUUCGACGCCACGGUAUUCGAGAACGAGCUGAAAUGGUACGCGACGGAGCCCGAUCAAGGCAAACUCAACUACACAUUGGCUGAUAAGAUGAUGAAUUUCGUCAGAGCCAACAGAAUCAUCGCUCGCGGUCACAACAUAUUCUGGGAGGAUCCCAAAUACAAUCCCGAUUGGGUUCGUAAUCUAACCGGCGAAGAUCUCCGGUCGGCGGUUAACCGGCGAAUCAAGAGUCUGAUGACUCGGUACAGAGGAGAGUUCGUGCAUUGGGACGUGAGCAACGAGAUGCUUCACUUUGACUUCUACGAGACUCGACUGGGGAAGAACGCGUCGUACGGAUUCUUCGCCGCGGCUCGUGAGAUUGACUCAUUGGCGACUCUGUUCUUCAAUGAUUUCAACGUGGUGGAGACUUGCAGCGACGAGAAGUCAACGGUUGACGAAUACAUCGCGAGGGUGAGGGAACUCCAACGGUACGACGGCGUAAGGAUGGACGGAAUAGGUCUCGAGGGUCACUUCACGACGCCAAACGUAGCGCUGAUGAGAGCCAUCCUCGAUAAACUCGCUACGCUCCAGCUCCCAAUCUGGCUCACCGAGAUUGAUAUCAGCAGCAGCCUCGACCACCGCUCUCAGGUUCACAAGUCUCUGUUUUCCGGUUUAGUUCAGUUUGCAAUUUGAAUCUGGUUUUGGUUACAAUUUUUAGCCGGUUUAUUAACGGUUUUUCGAAUUGAUUUUGGCUGAAAUACGGUAUGUCUGUUAGGAUGAUAAAAUCUGGUUGGAGUACACAUUGAUUAUACUUGGGUGCAAGUAACCGGAAAUUUGUUACGUUUUCAGGCGAUUUAUUUGGAGCAAGUGUUACGUGAAGGAUUCUCGCACCCAUCGGUAAACGGUAUAAUGCUAUGGACCGCACUUCACCCAAACGGCUGUUACCAAAUGUGCCUCACUGACGAUAAAUUCCGGAACCUUCCAGCCGGAGACGUGGUGGAUCAGAAGCUUCUAGAAUGGAAGACUGGUGAAGUUAAGGCGACGACAGAUGACCAUGGUUCCUUUAGCUUCUUCGGCUUUUUGGGAGAGUAUAGAGUUGGCAUCAUGUACCAAGGUAAGACGGUUAAUUCGUCUUUCUCGUUAUCUCAAGGCCCUGAGACCAAACAUGUGAGGCUUCAAAUCUAACUUAACGGCUCUAUGUUUAAGAUAUGGUGUAAAUCUUACUGAGGUACAAAUAGAGGGAAUAUAUCUAUUUUUCAAUUUGCAAAUUUCGGCCAGUAACAAAAUUGAAUGUACUGGUGGGGACAAAAGUAAGUGACAAUGGGUCAAAAGGAGAGACGAGACUUUGUGGCGUGGGCAAACUUUUUUCAUAAAUUUUUUAUGAGAUAGUGUAGAAACAUCAAAUCAAACAUGAAUCCCUGCAAAAGUAACUUUAAAAAGCUAAAGUGGAAUCAUUCACAUCACACAGCCAUUAACUGUGAGCCCCAGCUUGCCUCUGUCGACAUUAUCAUACACUUAAAUGUUACUAUACUCUCUAAGAAUAAAGAAAUACACCUACCAACAUCCAAACACAAUAAAUAUGAAAUUAACUCUAGUGGCCUAAUCAUCACUUUGGUAGAUCUAAAGCCACAAAAGAUCUUUCUUUAAAUCACAAAGCAUAUCUCACAAUUUCGAACAUGAUAAACAAUCUUCAAUGACAGAUGAUACAAGCAAACACGCGCGUACACGACAAAGCUACAAUGCAAAACCCUAAAAGCCUAAAACCCAAAUUGUCGCAGUCUUAAGCGAUAAUCAUCGAGUAUCAACAAAAACUAAACAAAGGCAAUGCUAACAAAACGACUACCAAAUCUAAAGACGAUGAUGCUACGAGAAAAUAAACGGAAAAGUAAAUGCAGCAAGCAGCACUGUCAAUGAAACGCCGGCUGGUCUGCUUGCCUCUCCCAUGGCCAAACCAGCCAUCCAUGAUCCGUCUUGUAACAUGGUCUCACCCGUACCCAUCUCCGACCCAGUCCCCUGUGACCCGUACACAUUACCUUGACCUGGAGUCUGUUGACCCUGACCAGCGUAACCAGUAUCAGAACCAGGCACAGGAUCGGAACCUUGUGAGGUCGACGACGAGUCUGUCACUGGAGGGGAGUAGCUAGUCGAUUUUUGACUGUAUAUACACAAAAUGAUUCAAACACUAAUCAAAAUGACUGCAAUGUCAAAUCUUUCAACUUGCGUUUUCAAACUAGUUUGGUAUUUUUUGUCAUUCUUGAAACAAAAUUGCUACAAACUUUCUCGAUUAAAUUACUCGUUAUUGACAAAACAAAGAGAAUCUUUUGACUCUAUAAAAUGAUGGUUUAUGAAAAGAAGAUAAACACAAACUUUGGCUUUUCCAACGACAAAAAACACAAACCCAAAAUCUUAAGAUUAAUUAUUACGAAACCCAUUAACACAUACUAAAAGUUUCAAUUUUUCAAAGCCAAAGCAACGCAGCAAUUGUGGAACUUAAAAAAUGGAUAAUAUUAUAAUCAGUAAGUAUUUACCUAGGGGAAGAAGGGCAAAACGUCACCGUAUAAUCUCCACCGGCGCAAGUGAAAGUGCUCGUAGCAUCGUCGUAAGCGUAGCUAUAGGAGCGAGGACACGCGGCUUUAAACAUCUCCGAAUACACGGAAGGCCGACAACUAGAAGGUGUAGCAUACGCGCCGCUGCAACAGUAUUCAGGACUCCGAAACGCUAAACACGCGCUUUUGCAAGCGUCUCCGUCGCCGAAACGCAGCUCAGCAGGGCACUGAAUGUUAAGAUCCGUAGUGCAUCCGGUAGAAGCGCACUGCCCAGAUCCACCGGCGACUUCAACUAUCAUCGGAAUGUUGUAACCGUCGACGAGACUAACGUCGUAGAAAUCAUCGCCGCCAGUGCCUAGAGUGAACUCCGCGAGAGUUACAGGCGGUGCGGCACCAAGCCCGGCGCAUUCGACAGCGUUGGAGCCGCAGUCACCGGUUUUGCAUGUACCGGAGCCAGAACUGUCGAACUUGCAACCGGUACGAGCCCAGAAUCGACCGGACCAACCGGUGGGAGCUUGGAGAGAGCGAGAGGUGCCUUUAGGGAGCUCAAAUCCGGUGGUGGAGAGAGUAGGUGAGCCAGCAUUCGAUAGGAUUCCAGGCCAUACGGUGUAGCCGCACCGAUUAGCGAAUGUGAAUGUUGAGCCAUACGAACCUUUUAACAUCCAAAAGAUAAAGAAACAAAUCACUAAAAAAAAUGAAACUUUGAAACGAGUGUAAGUAGAUGUGAUAGACUUUGAAGUAAGUGAGUGAGAGACUCUUCUUCUUCUUCUGGUUAUACCUGUGGAAGCUAAAAGGAGAACAGUGAAGCUCAAUGUGAGAGUGGAAGAGGCGCGACGAGAAGAAAGAUUCAUCAUGGUUCUUUGUCGUACUCAGUGUUCUUGGUCUAUUCUAACCAGAAGUAAAGGUCUUCUUUGAUGUUGGGAAGAAGAUGAGAGAGAUUAGUAAAACUGUGAAGCUAUUUGAGUUGAAAUGGGGUUUUGUUAUUUUUUUCCUUGAAUUUGUUAUUGAGUGUUACUGGGCUCUAUGCCUGAAACCUGACAAAAUUUCUCUUGUGCACUUAUUAUUGAAUCUUUUUAAUUGGGUUAAAAUAACUACAAAAAAGAUUUAUGGGUAGGAAGAGAUAGGACCAAAUGGUUUUCAAUAUCAUUAUUCAUUAUUAUUUCACUUGUAAAAAAAUAUAAUUGUAUUGUUAUGAUUUUCUGUGUAUACUAGUACUACUAUGUCUAAAUUAAUUAAAAUUCAUUUUCAUUUUGUGUAAAAUUAUGAUGACAACGCCGUAUUUAUUCGUAUCAAUUGGUUGAGGAGCUUUGUCUGUGUAAAAAAAAACUAUGUUAUUAGCCCACACUAAUUGGGCUUGAAAGUCGGCCCAUGUGAAGGUGGAAAGUGGACCCGCGUUCAAAACACAACAAGAAAAAGACAAAGAAAGAUGAGAAGCUUUGGGGCUAAAAGGGGGACCUACCGAAACUAUGUUAAAGCAUAUUCAUUUCUGUGAUUGUCCACAGUCCACAUAACUUUAAACCCAAAUUUCUUUGAAAUUCGAGUUUUGAAUCGUGAUAAUUGCUUAUUUUUCACAAUCCCUGAAAACUAACUAUCCCCAAAAAUAAUAACGAGAAACAUAACUUUUGGCACAGAGCCAAACAAACAAGAUUAUGUACCAACUACCAACUUACAAGUAAAAUAAAAAGUAAACCAAUUACUGCCAUAUUUUUGACAUUCCCUUUCUUUGUUUUUGUUAUUAGAAGGAUUAUUUUAAGGGUGGAGACUGUGGAUUUACUGAGACUACUAGUAUGGUUUGAGCCACUAACCGUUGAUGAUCAAUGUAUGAAAAUGUGACGAUGUUAGAUCGUGACACAUGGAAGAACACAGCUGGAAGAAUUAGUGGCGAAAUACAGAGGAUAUAACUCUCUUCUGUCUUUCGUCUUUUGAGGAACAAGAGAAAGCGAGAGAGAGAGUCUUAUCUCACCCAUGCCACUACUACCAUUGAGAGCUGGGCCCUGACCGAGUCUUUGACUCCUAAAUCUUUUCAAUAUUUUUAACUUCGCCCAGGUAACUGACAAACUACAUUUUAUUUAAAUGUCGAUUUUUUUCCCAAGAACUUUUGUAAGUCUACAAAAGCCUGAUGUAUAUAUAUUCCCAAAAAGCAAAUUACAAUUUUCUUUAUUUUUUCUGUUACUUUGCAAAUUAACAAUGCUCAAAAAGGCAAAUUCACAUUGGAGUAACUAAAUUUUGGUACAGAAUAAUAAGCUAGCCCAAAGGAGUAUAAGUGUAAAACUUAAGAAAUUGAACGAUAAAGGUAGUAGUAAGCCUUGGUUUUGCAGACGAGCGUGCUGUGCAAAUGGGCUUGUGGGACUAAUUUUAUCGACCCCUUUAUCCGUUUCUGGCCAAUUAUUGCUAUUUUAAAUUACUAGACAAAAUAGAUUUCUUUCUUCCUUAUGUUUGACAAAGAAAGAGCAGAGGACAGAAACAACAAUUCUUGGAACAAUUUCGAAAGAAGUAACAAGUGUAAAACAAGUAAAGAUUUACACAUGAAUUUUUCUAUCAAGUAAAGAAGUAAUUCUACCUUGGUAUUAACCGUAAUGACAUUUUUCUACACAUGAAUUUUCUAUCUGCCUGCAACAAGAAAGAGGAAAUGAAAACAGUAUAGUAACCUCAACAGACAAUGCGAGUACCCAUGUAAGACGGACCUGAUGUAAGAAGGACUUAAGACAUAUAAUAAGAAGAUGGCUCAGCUGCUGUGCGGAUGCGGCAAAUGAAUCAUGCUCUUGUUUACUAGUGGCAGUGUUGCACCAUCUUUCCUCGAUCCUAAAAGCUUCUCGCUGCAAAACAAAACUCAUAGUCAACAACUUACUAAGCUCAUUACACCUAAGUACAUUUAUAACAAUGGAGCACUUCAAUCUAUAUUUGUCGAACUCAAUCCAACUGUUGCUACCCGCUUUUCCAACCAUUAAAACAAAACCCUUUUAAUCAACACUACUUUCUCAUACCAAAUGCUUAUAGUAGACCUUUACAAUCAUUUAUAAUCAUACCAAAUGCUUCUAGUAGACACUACAAUCUUAAUCAAAUGCUUAUAGAAGAUGAUCAUAUGAUCUAAAAGACUACAAAUCAUAACGAGUAACUACGUUAGCUAAAGUCCAUAAUAAUCAACAGUGUGGCUCAGAUUAGAUUCCUGCUCAUAUACUAAAUAACAAGAAACAUCCCUAGCAUAUUCCAAAGCGAACAGAGGGGCAAAACGGUCAAUAUCUCACCUUGUAUACGGUGGCGGACAGAAGAUGAUGAAGUAAUCGGCUCCGGUGGCGCAAGUGUAAGUGCUCGUCUUAUCGUCAUAGGCGUAGCUGUAUGCUCGUGGGCACGCAUGCUUAAAGAAGAGCGAGUAAACCGAAGGCUGACACGUGUCCGGCGUGGCGUACGCAUCGCUGCAGCAAUACCUUGGGUCUCCGAAUGCCUCGCACGCGCUACGGCAAGCAACACCGUUCCCAUUCCCACGCGUCACCAGCUUUAGGUCUCUGGGACACGCGCCGUUCAAGUCCACGAGACACCCGGUGGCUCCGCAUCCUCCAAUGACGAUUUUCUUGGGCAAGAUUAGCAUCGGGAGAUUGUAACCGUCGACGAGGCUAACGUCGUAAAAAUCUAGUCCUCCUGUGCCGUUGAGAGUAAACUCGGCGAGAGUUGCUGGAGGUUUAGCUCCGGAGCCUGAACAUUCGACUUUUCCCGAGCCGCAAUCUCCGGUUAAGCAGACGAAAGAACCGGAACUCCGAUCUUGUGAACACAAGGUUCGUGCCCAGAGACGACCGGACCACGACUCUGGUAUUGCGACGGUUUUAGAUUUUCCUCUAGAGAGACGAAAGCCAGUUGUGGGGAGCGGCGCUGAGUUAGCACCAGAGAGCAAACCGGGCCAUAUCGUGUUCCGGCAACGAUUCGUGAUCUUGAACGAAAUUGGCUCAACUUCUGCCAUGUGAAACCAAUUCAAUCAAAAUCGUGUAAAGAUUGUUAAACUCGAUAGUCAAGCAAUAAAGAAGCAAGGAAUUAGACAGCGAUUAUUGACCUGAAAGAGAUGAGACAAAAGCCAGGAUCAUAAACAAGAGGAUCCGAUUCAUCAUUGCUGUUACAGGAGGAUUCGAUCGGAUUCUAAAGUUGAAUGCUUGAACGAGUAAAGCGAGCAACUUUACUUUCGAACGAUGGAAAAAGCGGCGGAAGAGAGAAUAGAAAGAGAGUGAGAGUAGUCGAUAGAGGAGAAGAGCUUCUCUGUUUCUUUGAAACAAUAAAACCGAAACCGGAUUAUUCUAGUUCCAAACUGGGUUGGUGAACCGAAAAUUAACCGGUUUUACGGUUAUCCAUUUAGCGAUGCGCACGUGGUAUUUUGGUUGUGGACCAUGAAAGUUCAAACAUGAUAAAAGUUGAUAAUUUAUAGAGAGCACUCCGAUUUCCAAGGUAACAACAACAACAACAGAUCUAAAAUCUUCCCAUAUCUGCUUUUAUUUACUUAAUCCAAUCCGAAUCGUGUGAGCUACAGUAAAAUGCCAGUGUGAUCAUGAUGAAACGGUGGAAAGAAGUUGAGAAGAUUACAUUUUCUGAAGAUAUACAAAAGAUUGAAAAUACAAACGACAUCGAAGAUAAAAAGUCUAAUAAUGAGAAUGAUGGAGACUGCAAUUAGUAUUCAAUUCCUUCCAGUCCAUGGAACUUAAAUGCCAUUAAAUGCAAAACAUGAGCAGAUAGAUUUUGUAUCUAUGGGAAUCGUUACAUAAUCCAUAAAUAAUUCAACCAUAAAACGAUGAUCUCUCAAGAUUUAAGUAUCCAGAUCUUACGAUUCAUUCAGAUGACUGAAACAAAACCCAGAAUAUUUGUUCGCAUAUUAUGAACACUUGAAACAGAGCAACAAGUAGAGCAUUUCACCCAUAUCACAAGUACCAUAAAUAAAACCAACCAUAAGUAGCAAAACCAAAAGAAGAGUCCUAAUCCGAAACCAUCAAGAAAAAACCAACUAACAAAGAUAGAGAUCCAUCAUAAUAAGCAAAAAGUGGAUAAUAGAGAGAUAGAAGGCGGCGGGAGAAAGAACCGAUCACUUGUGAGAUAACCAACUCACUCUUCUCCACCGCGUAACCGGCGUUGGUUUUAACGUCCACCGCUGGUGCAAUCCCUGGCGAAAUGUCCCGACUCGCCACAGCUGUAGCAGCUUCCCCCGCCGCCACCACCUCCACGGCCACCACCUCCGUAACCACCACCUCCUCCGCCGUAUCCGCCUCCACCUCCGUAGCCACCGCCGCCUCCUCCGUAACCUCCACCGCCUUCAGAACAGUCUCUCGCCAUGUGACCGGGCUCACCACACUUGUAGCAGUCGCUGCCUCCUCGACCACCACCUCCUCUUCCUCCGUAUCCACCACCGCCACCGCCGUAUCCACCUCCAGAUCCGCGUCCACCUCCUCUUCCUCCACCGAAACCGCCGCGUCCGCCAGAUGAACCACCACCGCUGUUUCCUUGGACGGGAGCGCCGUCGGGUCCAGAAACAUCGAUGGCCUUGGGACGGUUGUUGUUGUCGAUCUCAACCUCGAACUCUACGGCUUCUUCGGCAGCGAGGCUACGGAAACCCUCAGAUCUGAUGGAGGACUGGUGAACGAAGAGAUCGUCGCCACCGUCGUCAGGAGUGAUGAAGCCGAAACCCUUCUGGGUAUCAAACCACUUGACGGAGCCUUUGCGCCUCUCACCACCGCCGUUGUCUCCGCUCAUUUUGAUUGGAAUCUCUUAAUAACUCACUUUUUUCUCUAAAUCUUUAAAAAAAACGAAACCCUAGAAAAUACUCUGAAAUCUCUCUCUCCUCGCAGCUGCUGUUUAUAUGCGUAUAGGAAGGGUGUGGCAAGGGUAUGACUGCCACGUCACCCACCCCAAUUCAUUUUUUCCUUGUUUCCAAGAGGAAAUAAAAUAAAUGUUUUUAUUUAGAUCUCUAUUUCUAUAUAUGUUUGUUCGAUUUUUGUCUAUUUUUCUAAAUUGCCUUCAAAAAAAACAUCUGCACAUUCCGAAUUGUAUAUUCGAGCGUGAUAUUAAAAUAAAAAAUCUCGCGAUUAAGAUACCCAGAAAAUUAAAAAAACAUAAAUUUCGUUGAUUUCGAAAAUGAAUCUGCAACUAAAAUAUUAAAAGAAAGAAAAGUAAGUUAAAAAAGAAAAGAGGAGUUAGAAAAUGGGCCAGCAUGUGAUAAGGCUUAAAUUGAUUAAUCCAUUUCGGGAAAGAGAAUGGAUCAUUGGCCCAGCAAGCAGUUGCAUCUGGACGGUUGGGGUGUUUUUCACGAGGGAUAUCAGCCGUCAGAUUCUGAUUUUAGAUCUGAAAAGCUAGCUCUCUGGGGAAUAGAGAAACAAAGAUCAAUUAAUUUAUUUUUAUUUUUUUACUUUGUAUGUUGUAUUUUAUUUUUUGUUGCAGUCAACAACAACAUUAAAGAAUGACAUGCAACGUCAGCAACUGGUCAAUAUACUCUUUUCAAAAUUUUCUCAAUCUUGUGGUCAAAAUAAGCAUUAACUGUUGUUCCACUUUCCACGUACAUUUUAUGAGGCAGAUUCACAAAUUUUACCAAACAGUAUGAUAAUUGUAUGAAGUAAUUUGAGAAGACUAUUGACCGCAAAGAGAUUGUCCUUUGUUGGAUAUCGAUUUUUGAGUAUCGAUUACAAAACUAAAUUACCAAGUAAUUAAUUUAUAAGAGAAAUAGAAAAUGAGUAAAAUUUAAAAAUUAUUGAGAGAUAGAAAAUAGAUCCCUUUAAAUUUAGCUUAUAAUUCGAAAAAUGUGCAUGUUUUUAUCUUAAUCACUUACCGUGAGAAAGUAUAGGAGUAAAAUGAUGUUAUCGUAAAGUGCCAAACAACAAAUCAAACUUGUGCUUAGCAAAAAAAAAAAAAAAAAAAAAACUGGUAUCAUUUGAGAACAUGACUUAAAACGCAGCCGUUUAAAUAAAAAAAGUUGGUUUCUCUGCAUCCCAUGUCUAGAGUCUAGAAGAGUGGUCUCGCUGCCGAUCUCAGCAGGGAGAAUAAUUUGGCUCGGCUCAAUCACUCUUGUGGAUCAAAUGCUCUUCUUCUUCUUCUUUUGUGUUUCAAGUCUUGAGAAGAAAUCUAAUCUCAAAUUAUUAGGAUUUUGCACCAUGUUUCCAUCAUCUCAGUUUAUAGAUAUAAUCAAAUAAUGAAAUUAUAGAGAUGCAUUGUGUCAUUAGCUACUGAUAUGAAUUCUAGCAUAACUGAUUCUAUUAUCUUUUUGUUCUUGAAGAUCACAGUAGUGUGUAAUAAAAAGGGGCAUUGCUGCAGAAAUAUAGUCAUCUCUCAGGUUAGCAGCUCUCUUUCACUUGUUAAAACUAGAUUUUACCAUCAACUGUAUACUUCUUCCUUCUGUUUUGCCUGUCUAUCAACUACAACAUCUGCAAAAGUAUCAGAAAUUAAUAGUAAUGAAGAGUUUGGAUAUCUCGCAAUUGUAUCAGGAUUCAAAUAAGUUGUAAUGAAUUGGAAUAUACACUCGUAAAUCACACACACAUACAAAUACACACUCACAUGUUCUCUUAUACACAAGCAACCCUAAAACACAUCAACCAUGUUCUGAUUCUUUUCCUUCAAAAUAGAUACACAAAGUCUGUCUCCACACGCUCAUUCCUCAGGCCUUACCUUCAGCUCUCGCAAAGGUGAGCCCAACGCAAGCAUCAACAAAUUCAUUAUCUAUGAAAUCAGUUGAGAAUAUCUGCAGUUUAUCAGCACAUCCUCUUUUUACACACUCUAUGAUGAAUACCUUGGCGUAGCAAUGUAUCCUCUUAGUCACCGGUUUUACACACAUUAUUGGGUUAUCGGGCUGCGGCGUCACUGUGUUCUCCACCCGGUAAAAGAAUUUCCUUGAAGUAGCUGGUUGCUGCUGGCUCAAAUGCUUGAUGUUGCUCUCGAAUUUGGUCGAUGGAAGAUCUGUAUCGAUCCAAUUGUCUUUAAGGUAACCAGCGCUCCAAAGAGGAUCACCAUGCUUAGGCUGAGGCGAUUUCCUCGGUUUCCAAACGCAGAUCACUCUCUUGGGAAGCAGCUCAGCGACUGUCUUGGAGAACACGUGAUCGUCCUGGUGAAUCAGAUGCUCUCCAAGCUGUUCCACAAGAUACUUAUCAAACUCCGGUGGGUCUUCGUGUCCAAACUCUGUUCUGAUCUCAAGAAUGACAAUCUCCGACUCUGUUUCGGAUAGAAACCGUUUGAGAUCGGCCAAGACAACGUCGACACUAUAAGUCUUGAGGAUACCGUGGCAUACACGGCGAUCUUCUUGGACACGAAUGUCAAGGACUCGAGUACCCGCCACGAGCUGGUUAUAGAUGGAGAGAGAUUGGCACUUAGCAAAGGGACGAGACACGAAUCGGAUACCGAUUUUGUUGGUGGCAGAGUCGUGCGUCCCAGGCCAGACGAUCUUGUUGAUGUGAAGCUUUUCAGGUCCAACGCCGGCCAUCCAGUUUUUACGAUCGGAAGGCAUGUAAUCACACCCCGGAAACUCGCAGCCGCACGAUUUCUCGAGAUCGGUGAGGGCUUUCUUCUCCGUGGAGAUGGCUUUUCGCCGCUCGAGUUGUUUGGAAAGGUGAGAGCCCAUUGCUGAGGAUUAACCCUUUCCCUUUGCUCUCUCUUCUCUGAUCACUAUAUUGAAUUCUGUUCUCUCUUGUUUAUAAAAUGUUCCAUGCCUUCUUUAUCAAUAAACCUUUACUCAUAAGUCGUUAUGAUUGUUUUUUAUUUACUUAUUAUUGGUUUGAAGAAGUUACGAAUUAUACGUUAAUCUUUUAAUAAUUACGCUACUUUCUCAAAACACCGUUGACAUAUUCGCAAAUUAGAAGUAACUUUCAACUUUUAACUUAACAAAAACCAUAGAAAAAAAGUAGUAGCGUUUAAUAUGUAAGAUUAACUGUUACAAUUUUUAUUGUGGGAACAUUUUAGUGUUAUAAAUGUGAACUGAUUGAUUAGUUGAGAUAUAUUGAAAGAGUGGUUGAGUUGUAAUUGAUGGGAGAGUGGGUUUACAAUGUAUGGUAGGUCCAUUUUUGUUGUAUAGCUGUCUUCACUGUUUGUUAUUUGUCAAUUUCUAAUGCCUGGCUAUUUUCCGACGUGAAAGAUAUCAAUACAACGUGAUUUUUAUUUCUUGGAAGACACAUAUUCAAAUUUUCUAUGAAAUAAAAGUCGUUCCUAAAAUUUAAACAAGGCAUCGAUAAUUAAUAUUUUGGAUAAAAUUCGGAUAGGAUCCGAUGGAAAACCAAUCAUAUACACUCACAGGCCCUAUCAUGUCUUUUGUAAGACUAUCUCAAAUAUCACGAUCCACACAACUAAGAUAUGUAAAAGAGAUUACUAGUAUAGAUUUUGGGAAUUGAGAAGAAAGAUUGCAACAUAAUUAAUCAAUUUUGAUCUCUUGAUCAUGCAAAAUUCAGUUUUGAUCUGAAUAAUUGAUUUAGUUGGCCUUUUUAUUGUUUUAAUCGGAACAUAUGAAUCGGUUAAUAAUGAUAAACAGUAGCAUCAUAUCGGAGAACAGCAUCACCAGUCUUCAUGUCAAUCUUAUUUGUUUUUACUUUGACAAAACCUCUCGCCAUUCUGAAUUUCCCACGGCCACCAACAAUCGCGAUUUCUCGCUCUCCGACCUCUUCCGCCACCGGAUUCCUCGAGAAGAUACUGAUCGAGCUUCCAUUAAACUUCCCUGCCGUGAAAGCCAAAUCAGCGUACAUGACGAUCGUGAAUUUGCUCAAGUCUUUGCACCCGGAGACAUACAUCCCUUGACCAUUCCCGAUCUCUUUCGAGUGUUUCUCCGGCCCGACGGUGAGCGGAUCGUCUAUCACAAACAGGCUUCCAAAACCUACCGGCGAAGCUGAGCCACCGGUUAGAUUUGCAUGUGCGAUUCUAACGGCGGUAGGAUUUUGGCCACUGAGAGUAUCAUGGAGAUAAAAUCUGACACGUGUCACUUUCUCCUCAUUCAGUUUAGCCGGUUUGGUGUUGCCAUAGUAGGAUUCGUGACGCGCCAUAACGGCCAUGCUCAAACAGAGUGUGAAAAAUAUUAUUAAUGUGCUCUUCAUAAUUUAUAAACUUAAGGAAUUGAUAUGAAAGUUUACUAUCCAAAUGAAUCUAGAACAUAUAUAUAUAUAUAUAGUUUGAUCACUUGUAAUUUUAGGAAUGUUUACAGGAAAAAGAUUUUCUCCUAUAAAAAGAGGGUAUAUGUCAUUAUUUAGAAAAUCUAUUUGAUAUUUUUCUAUAUAACAAAAAGAAAAUAGUAAAUGCAUAUGAUCCAGGUAUUAACUUUGAAAAUUUUCUGUCUGAUAUUGAUGAUAUGUUCAAAAUUGUAAUAGUGUUUGACAACUUUGAAAACAUGUAAAGAGAUUUAAUUAUUUUAGAAAAUUAUGAUUCUAAAAAGCUUUGAGAUUCUGCCAAAUAACUAGCAUAAACUUUAUUCGAGGUAAGGAUAUGUACCACGCGCACCUUAGGAGCGUUGAGCGCGUGUUAUCAAAAUGGGUAAGCUAUAUAGUCCAGCCAAAAUGCCUAUUUUUGAUCAAUUUUAAUAUAUUCCCAGCUCUAAAGCGCGUGGUAUUAUCAUAUUCCCCGUCCCACUACAUUCUGUGUGUUUGUACAGGUUGGAUUUAUUCCUCACCACAUAUAUCUUAAGUGGACUGCACCGAUCAAGAAGAUUAUAGAAUACGGGCCAGAUCUGAUACUGGGUCGGGUUAAGUUGGGCCAAUUGGGCUCUUAAUAACAAACAUCACUCUCUCUACGCACCAUUGAUCACUGAUCAACUAAACGCUCCCAAAUUCAAAGACAGAUUUAAACCAAUAAUGAAAUUGUACAACUCGUAAAAAAUAAAAGACACCCCAAAACCCUAAAAAUUGCAACAGAGUAUGUGGUAAAAAAAAGAGACAGAGAGAUAUUAUAAAAAAAAAGACCCUACCAAAAUUUUCUCUAGAGUUCCCCCACACAACUUAACUUAUCCAAAUUAAACAACACAAAUUCUCAGAAGCUAAACUUCAAGAACCCAAACUAUCACAAUCCACAAAAAUGCCUUUUGACUCUUUAGAUUUUGUCCUCCGUCUCUUCCUUCUUUGCCUCUUCUACAGCCGGUUCGCCACCAGUCUCUUCCUUCUUAGCCUCUUCUACAGCCUGUUCACCCUCAGUUUCUUCCUUCUUAGCCUCUUCUACAGCCGGUUUGUCCUCAGUCUCUUCCUUCUUUGCCCCUUCUACAGCUGGUUCCUCCUCUUGAGCAUCCUCCUCAGAAUGCUCCGUGCUUCAAUGUUCAAAGACAAAAUAAUUUAAGAGUAAGAAACAUGCUUACAAAAUUUACAACUUCCCACAAUACUCAACAACACUAACUAAAAAACCCAUUACCAUCACGCAGAAAGAGAAAAACAGAGCUCUCUAAACAUGGGAUGCCAGAUCAAAAAAACAAAACAGAAAGAGAGAUCCAAUCUUUCAGCUUCACUUCAAGACAUCAACUUCCAUGUAUGAAUGUAGAGAAAAACUAAUAACACCAAAUUUAACAUAUUAACUACUAUACUAAUGCAGUGAUCCAUAACACAUGAAUGAUCAUCCAAAAUCUCACUGUUUAUAGCAUAUAUAUGAAUCCCUAUCUCCCACAAUAUACACAAUUUCUUAGACCCAUGUCAAUAAUUUCCACAGACAGUAAGAGAUCAAUACUUUGCCCGACUAAGAUGGUAUAAUCAGAAAACAAGCAGGCAAACUAAAGAAACGAAUCAACCAAGUUUUAUUAUAGUCAAAGAAGAUAUAUACCUUUUCCUCCAACUUCUUUCAAUACGUUCCUCGUCUUUACGGCCAUUGCCAAGACCAAAGCCCAUCUUCCCUGUAGAUUUCUCAUUAGGCUUCUCCAUGGCUGCAGCAAUGUCCUUAAGCUUUUCAGCCUCGAGCUUCUCGUCAAUCUCUUUCCAAUCCUGGCCUUUCUCAGCCAGAACUUCCUCUCUAGGUCUUGCGUUCCCAAAAGGAUUAGCACCUUUAGGUUUCUCCACAAUGACCAAGACCGGACUCUCCGGCUUCACGACCUCCACAACGGCCACGGGAAGUGUACGUGGCUGUAACACCAAUCUUGGGCGUGAACCACCGCUCGGUGGUGGCGAGCCAUUAGCAGCACCGCUUUCUUCUCUUCUUCUUCCCCAGGUAUCCGAUUCAGAACCACCACCACCACCGUAUUGAGAAUCCCGGUUUCUAGACAAGGAUUCAAAACUUCCCCUUUUCUCAAAUCUGUCACCGCCGCCGCCGUUGCUAGAAACGAAUCUCCGGGGCUCCGAUGGCUUAGUGGAGACCCAGCUAUCGACUUCAUCAGCCUUGGACUGAGACUGAGAUUCGAAGAAUCCUCCGCCGCUGCCUCUCUCUCUUCUCUCGAAUCCGUUUCCGCUAAUUGGUUUCUUGGCGGCGGCCCAGUUAUCAUCCUCAUCCGCACGCGACGGACCCGAAUCCCUGCUAGGUUCCCUAUCCCGGUUGAAUCCACCGCCUCUCCUUUCCCCAUCCUCCGAAACCCUAGACGAACCCCACCUCGAGCUGGACGACUCAUCUCCAUAACGACCACCACCAUAGCUCCGGAAACCACCUCCAAGCUUAGAUCUAUCAAGCUCCUCAGCAGAGCGUUCACGUGGACCGGUCGGAAGAGCGACCAGCUCAGCCUGAGUGAGACGCUCCGUCUGUGGAGCCGGCUUUGCCUUAGCAGUACCGUAGGUAGCGAAUUCAGCAAGAGAGAUGGUUUGGCCCUUCUUCUUCUUCGUUUUGGUGGUCGCUGCAGCGGCUAAGGAAGGGAAAUCGGAGGAAUCUUCGGCAGAGGAUUUCUGGUUGGUGGGAGAGGGUUGUUGUUUGAGCUCAGCUUCAUGUUCCUCGGCUUCAAGAGCCCAAGCACCAGGCUUUGCCCAAACAGAUGAUACAGCAGCCGCCAUGAUUGGAUUCUUCUUCUCUUCUUCUCUUCUUCUGCUUCUUCUUCUUCUUCUUCUCUUCUCUUCGUGUGAAUCAAAAACAAUGAAUGGCUCACCGAAUCUCGAUUUCCUUUUUAUAGUUAGAUCUUUUUGGGUUUUGAUCGGACGGUUAUGAAUUCAUCAUAUCAAUAGGGUUUUAUUAUUUAGUAUAUUUUCCAUUCCUUCACCUACAAGGAGAAGGAAACAGUGUUGUUGGAUCAAAAUAAUAAUAGUCAAUGUUAUAUGAUCUAUAUAUGGUAACAAAUCUGUCCUAAGAGCUCAAAAAGAAAUGAAUAUGAACAAACAGUGGACAAAUUUGUAUACAAAAGACUGUUACAAAACUAUCAAGUAUAUACAGAAAGCUAGUUUACAUUCUUUUCCCCACUAAGAGAUUAAUUAGAUGAUCUUCUGAUUCGGAUCCCAACAUCCUUCCGUUCAGCACAAGGUUUAAAUCUUUGUUACCUUCCUAAUAUUCAGGACUGUACAAACUUGUCAAAUGUUCUUCGUCAAAGCUCUUCCCUGAAUCCUGCCAUCUCAUUCGUCGUGGCGAAGCUUGUUCCUCUUCUCUCGUGGAAUGGAGUAUAACCGUUCCUGUAAGCACUGUGAUGAAUCCACAAAUCUCAGAGGCUAUGCUGUCUGUGUUUUGCCCAUUCCAGUCCUGUUAAGAAAAAGGUGAUUCAUUUGACAAUCUUGAAACACGAGGAUCAUUACUCUUUAAUGUUUGUUGAAAUCUCUCUACCUUGAACAUGAUUGCACUAGCGACAAUUGUGAGUGUUGUGAACAUCACAUAAUAGAUUGGAGAAACAAUUGCUGCGUUGAAUGUGUCCAGCGCCUGACAAAACAAAACAUAUGACUACUAUUAACCAUUGGCCAAAGUGUGCUCAACACUACAUCACACAGACACAUGCACAGGUUCUUCUUACCUUGUUGAGGUAAAUCAUUUGCAUAACAACACAGAUUGCUGCAACCAUGGCAAAAAACCAAGUCUCUGGAUACCAGAUCUGGUUUAUCCCUUCAAAUGUUAACUUUAUGGCAAUCCCUACAGCCUUGAUGCUCAUAACCUAUUUGAAAUUAAAACCUUUAGAGAACAAAAAAUGGGAAAAGAUAUAGAGCUCAGCACUAAAUUCCGAGAUGCUUACUGUGAGAGAACCCAUCAAUGAACAAAUUCCGAUAUACACAAGAAUGUUGGUUUGGCCGCAGAGAGGUUCACAGUAGAGAAUCAAAGCAAGGACUAUCGACAUUGAUAUGGCUACGUAAAUUAGAAAAGCUGUCUCACACAAAAAAGAGAAGGGAUAUACGUUAUUGUCUAUAUCAGUAACAUAAACACAGAGAGAGAGAGAGGUAGAAAAAGCAAAACCUGGUUGCAUUGCUAGUUUCCAGAUUUCUUCUACAGAAUUGGGAGUCUGCUCCUGAGGUGCGUGUAUGACGAUCAUAACUGAGCCCACAAUGCAACAAACACAUCCCCAAACUCCCAUUUUCCUAAGUUUUUCGUCUAACAAGAAAUGUGCCAAAACAGCACUAGGAGGGAGCAAUCAGGGCAAAAGAUGAAAAGGUUAGUCAGAGAAAAGGUGAAAUACCACUCAAAAAGAUGCCAAUACAGUACAAACCUGAUGAUUAUACUUAAUGCGCCAAGAGGAGUGACUAGUACAGCAGGUGCAUAAACGUAAGCCACAAAGUUAGCAAUUUCUCCAAAAGUCACUGAGUUACAAAAUCUCACAUUUAGAACGAUGGUUUUUAAGAUGGGAAGAGUCAUAUGGAAAAUAAAAGAUGGUUUUUUUGAACUCACUUGUUACCAAGCCUACCCACCAAAGUGGCUCUAACAAAUAUGUAUAACCUCCGAAACCUGCACCAUUCAUCAAGCAAGUCAUACUCCCAUUUCUUGACAUGCAAAUAUUCUCAAACAAAUGAUAGCAGAAAGGCACAGAACCAAAAGGUGAAACAAAACAUAGUGGAUAAGAAAUCUAUUGCUGAUGGAUCAUCUGCUAUUAAGAAAAUGUGUCAACAUGGAUUCAUUUCAAUGUCUAUAGAAAAUGAAUUCUUCCAAUUCAGACAGCUAAACCCUGAUCGAGCAGAUGGGUUGUUCAAUAUCUAUCUAAUAAUUAAAGCAGAAAGUAAAUUUAGGAGCAUGGAAUUGGAUUCUAAAAAAAAAGCAAGCGGGGAAACGAACCAGCGCGGGUGCCAUUAGCAGCAGCGCGCUUGAGACCUUUCUUCUUCAAAAUGAAGCUGGAACCUAUGAAGACGCUCGACGACACAGCUAAUACCAGACCCAUCUCAUUGUCCGACACCAUCGUUUCCUUUGCUAUCUUGGUUUGCAGCAAACAAGGUGUUAAAUCAAACAGAGGCCCCAAAAGAAGCCCUGAAUCGUAUCCCAAAAGGCAAUUAAUCGUUUGGUAGAAGAAAUCUGAUUGUUUUUGAUAUUGAUGAUCACAAAAUCCCCGCUACGGAAACAGGAAGAAGGAAUGAGAAUCGCAGGAUUUUUGGAGUCGUGGUGAAAUAAUUCAAAUGGGGGGAGAGAGAGAGAGAGAAAGAGAAAGCCCCCAUUCCUCCUCUCCAGAGACGACAGCUCAUGAGAGAUUUCGUCGUCUUUUGUCGGAAACUAUUAAAAUAUAAUAUAAAUCUGCUGCUUCGCGGACCACCUUCUUAUAUUAGCCAGUAGCCAUCCGUCCGCUUCUUCAUUUCUGUUGUUAAUCAAAUCUUUAAUCCUUGUUUAUUUAUAGUUGUAAGAUGAGUUUUUUAUAUUCUACGAAAACUGAGUACACAAACGUGAAAUCUUCCAAAAAAUGAAAUUUGUGUUAGCAAGCAAAUAAAUCACAGCAGCUAUACUAUUUUCAUUUUUGGCUUUCACACGUAUUGGCUUCCCUCACAAUUAUUUUAUUCUGAAAUCGUAAUUAAAGGCAUAUGCGUCCCUGCUGGCUGCAUAUAAAUAUGAGAUUCAGUCUUCUCUGAAACAUUUAUUUGAUUUGGUAAUUGGUAUGUCAUCAAUCAUUCAUCACAGUCUCCAGAAAAAUCGUGUGGAUUUUAAAACUGGUUUGGGGCCUGAUUUGAUGGGCCGGCCUUCAGGUGGAAAAUUUUCGUUUUCAUAUAAUAGUGAGUACGAAGGCAAUUAUAUUUGAAGGCCCACUAAAGUUGAUCUUAUCGACAAACCCGUGAUUUAAACAAAAAAAUAGGCCCACUGGUAUUGUUUAUUAUUAUUGCCAUUAAUUGGGUUUUCUAAUUUGCUUCUCUGCAGAAUCACGUGUGUUACUUUUUUAGACCAAGACCUUGUGGUGGUGUAGCCCCUCUGCGUCAACGUGGAUCAUAACGUCGUCCACCAUUAAUUAGAUAGGUGAACAAAAACUCGACCAAGUAUUUUUAUCUGUUCCAACGGAAAUGCAGAUAACAAAGAUGAAAUUUGGUAACGUAAAUUAGAUAUGAUAAAAGAGUGCUCAUUCCUUAUUUCUGGUAGUUAAUAUUAAAGGGGCAAGUUUAUAUAUGUUCCCAUGAGAACACACACCAAACUUAUGACUACAAAUUUUAAAAAGACUCCAUAACAAAAGCAAAAGCAUAAAGAGACACCACAAUGACGACGAUGAUGCUAAAUUAAGGAUGAUGAUAGGAAGAUCCUAAGAGAGCUGACCACAAUCGGCAACAACCACAGGCUUCGUCGGCUUUCCAGAUGAUGAUCCAACCUUCUCGAUGGCCUUUACCACGUCUAAGCCUUCCACGACCUGCCCAAACACCACGUGCUUCCCAUCAAGCCAAUCGGUCUUCACGGUGCAGAUGAAGAACUGAGAUCCGUUCGUGUUUGCACCGGCGUUCGCCAUCGACAGGAUCCCCGGUCCGGUGUGCUUCCUCUCGAAAUUCUCGUCCUCGAACUUGCUCCCGUAGAUCGACUCACCGCCUGUUCCGUUCCCGGCGGUGAAAUCUCCUCCCUGGCACAUGAAGUUAGGGAUCACACGGUGAAACUUAGAUCCCUUGAAGUGAAGGGGUUUUCCGGUACCGCCAACACCUUUCUCUCCGGUGCAGAGAGCUCUGAAAUUCUCGGCAGUCCUGGGAGUCUUAUCGGUGUACAGCUCCAUCACGAUCCUUCCCGCGGGCUGGCCGUCGAUGGUCAUGUCGAAGUAUACCUUAGGGAACGCCAUUCUUGUUGUUUGAAACGUGAGAUCUCUAUCAGACUGAAGAAGAGGUUUGUUGUGGAUGAUGAAUAGAGGAUUUAUCGGUGAGGUUAUCGAUUUAUAGCCGGCCAAGGGGAAGCGGCGAAUAUCUCACAGAUAAACAAGAUUAUUACAUGUGGGAAAAUCUCAACGGCUUUAAGAUCUUAACCGUGGUUAGGUUAAGAGUUUGACCACCGGUUAAGUAGGGGUCAGUCAGUCAGUGCGUUGGAGUAUCUCAGACUUGGCAUAUGCCCCUCCUGGAGCAACGUGCCACACGUGUCCCACAAUUUCUAAACAACUUGCUAAAAACAACGUCUUUUAAUCUUAAAAAUUAAUUUUAUUUACUGUCAGUUCAAAUUCAAAAAAAUUGAACCGUUAAACUUUAGUAGUAACGCAUACUAUAUGCAUGACUUUCAAUUAACACUAUCAAUGCUUUGCGCAAUAGUCCACCCCUCAUAAAUGUUAGCUGUAAUGAGUGGUUUUCUUUUUAGGGUUAAAUUUUUCCUCAUAGUAAGUAAACGUGUUCAAGAGUAGAGGGAAUUCAAAAAUCAGAAUAAUCUAGAAUAAGUGAUUAUCAAAAGUUAGUUGAGUGAGAAUUAUUCGGAACUGCACUUUCUGCGGCCUAGAGUCAGAGAGAGAACCAAUCAAAAGAAUUUGUUGAGAGGUAAGCAAUUUAAAAAAAUGAAAGCAACGAGCGGCCCAAAAGGAGUGGACAGCAUGAGCCGAACAUUUUUUUAAAGCUAUGAUAUGAAAUAAAGAGAAUAAUACUAUUAUAUGACUAACAUAUACCAAUGGUACAAUAGCCGGUUUAAUCACUCAUCAAGGAAGGAAUCUAAUACAUACGUACCACAUUCAAGCAUGGUCCUCAUGUUUGUUUUGUUUCUAAAGUGAUCCAGGAUACAGAAACGCAGCUAUUUUCUUCAGUGAAUCUAUGGACGGUUCUAAGUAGGUAUGCACCUCAGCAGCUGAUCGAGACAAAACAAAAGAAGCAGCAAUGUUACGAAACCGUUUUCACUUUUUCCUUGCAACUAAAUCGUAUUUUAAAAAAGGCACCAAAUCCCAAAAUAGUCUUGUCAAUAUUACUAUGGAAGAAACACUUGUUACCUUUCACUAGUUUUUUCAAGUCUUUGGAGAAGUUAUCCACACGCCCAAAUACAGGAUGGAUCCUGCAAACCUGAACUACACAGAGUUCCAAGUAUAACGACAUCUCUGUCGUUUGGAUCAGCAUAAGGCACAACUUCUUUACUUCAUCUGGAAUCUCUUUGGAUUUGUAAUUAUCACAUAGCUCAGCGACUAUCGCCGUCGCUUGGUCCUGCAUUUUAAUAUACACAUUGUAGUACCAAGCAAAGAGAGGAUGAUUAAAAAAAAAAAAAAAAAAAAAAAAAAAAAUAGAAACCAGUAACCGUUCUUGGUCUCGAAUUAACGUACCUGUAGACCAUGUAAAAUCUCCGGCUCUGGAAGCUCAGGGAAAUGAGCAAUAUCGACAUAUCCCACUUCCUCUGCCCUCGUAACAACACCCUCUGCUUGUAAGCACAGAAAUUUCAACAAUAGAGAAGCCACUCUAUAUAUCUGUAUCGCAACUGAGUCUGAAAAUUGCGAUUGAGGAACAGACCCAGGAUGUUCUGUUGUGUCUCCCCUAACAACUAGAGCAGUCGAGAUAGAUACUGCAGUGAUCUUGGGUUUCCCAACACAAACUAAAGGUGCUAGCGAAAACCAUCCGUGUUUGGUAUUGAUGAAAGACGGUCUUUUGCAGGAAUCAAACUCUUCUUUCGCUACUGGAGGGCAUAACAGAUGAGAUAUGUGGCUCUGAGACUCUCUAAGCCGUUGAGCGCCUUUGCUGAUAAAGGCCAAGAGAUGUAUUGUCAUUUCUCUUAAUGGAGAAUCCAUAUCCUUCAUAAUUUUAACCCAUGAUCUCCAAUGGCUAGCUAAUGCACACAGCAGAAGGAGAGUAUGCUCGGUUACUCUCAGAUAAGCAAGGGAAGUCCACGUCCGUUGACUUCGUAGCCUCACUUUGUCACGAUCAUCAGAAGGGAAAUCUGGUGCAGCGAGAUAGUAUGAGAUCAUGUAACCUUUCUCCAAGAAAAAGUAAGAUAUGACACUCUCCACAAUAUCAGCCCCUGCAGAAACAGAUCCUAGAGAAUGAACCAUGGCAGUAACCACAGCCAAACCGAUUCCCCAGAUAUGCUGAGUUUUUUCUGUCUUUUCUAGCAGCGAGCCCUUUUCAUUGUCAGAUACCAAAGUAGACAUUCCAUCCGGAAACUCCAUUAACAAAGCUCUUAAAGUCGAGAAAAAUCCAGAAUUUAGAAGCAUCUGAGCACCGCCAUGAACUUGAGCAAUAGUUAAGAAAAAUUUUAGUAUUGCUGAAACGGAUGUUGUGGAUUUCUUAUCCUGAAGCUGUAGAAUAACAUGCUGCAAGCGGAGUUGACUCUGUAUAAUAGGGAACCAUGUCUCUGGCGUCAAAAAAUUCCUGAGAAUCAAGUCUACUGUGGUCAGGCAGAGAGUCAAGUACUCGGGAUUCCCCAUGAAGUUGCAGAGAAGGGGUAAUAAUCCAAUUGUAGCAUCAGAUAUUUCUGCAAAAUCUUUGGCUAGCACCAUAUGUCCCAUCCCACUCGAGUUUGAGUUGUCUGAACCAAAACCCACAACCAGGAGCAGCACCUCAAGCAGGAGGUUUAUCGUCUUCUUCAAUAUAGCAUUUGAAUGCCUCAAACUACCAAGGAUCUUGAGGCCAGGCCCAACAUUUCUCAGGACAAGUGCACAUACAGAUAAUGAAAGAUUUUUCUUUGCGGAUUUCAAUAGGCGGGAUAGCAAGUCUGCCUGUGCUGUAAGAAUAUCAAACACAAUCUUGGGUGCAUCCCAGAGAGAGGCAAGUGAAUCAACCGUGGUGCAAAAUUUUCGGCAUACUUUAUCAAUGCUUAAAAGAGUGACUCGAGAAGGGAUUUUCCUUUCCGCAGCUGCACUUUCUUCAAGAGACUGCACAUAAGGUGUAGCAUUUAGAUGUACCGAAAUCUUAAAUUAAGAUCCCAAAAGUGGGACAUACAACAUUUCUACCGUCUAUAUUGGAGUACAUAGGCCAGUUUAGAUUAAUUCUAUUUGUUCGGUUUAGUAUUGGUUAGAUCUUAUACCACACUUGUAUAUAACAGAGUAAUUGUACAGUGUAAUCAUUAGAACUUUCUCAUUCAUCUUAAUGAUUACACUGUACAAUUACUCUGUUAUAUACAAGUGUGGUAUAAGAUCUAACCAAUACUAAACCGAACAAAUAGAAUUAAUCUAAACCGGCCUAUGUACUCCAAUAGUCUAGUAUGUUUGAGUCAGCUAUUAGCUAAAACGUUAAAUGAGGAAAAACAAUCUAGCCCAUAAAUGUAUUAUGAUGGGAUAAACUCAGAAAAGCUAAUUAAAACAGAGAAACUUACAUUAUCCUCAUAAAGUAUCAAGACGGAAAUCAAUGCAUGCAAAACAGAGAGCUGCGAAGUUGAGAGUAAAACCAUCGAGUUUGCUCUCUGCAUGUAGUUCAACAUUUCCUCUGCCGUUGUUUUAGAUGUCUUCCACUCAGAGAAAUCCCAAAUAUCAAUACCUAAUUCAGUCUGUAUUUGCUGAGUGUCAAACAAACAGUCCCCCAAAGCCAUAUUUACAUCCUUAUUAGUUUUCUGUUUAUAUUUCUCCCAAAAGCUCGUCUCCACUAGAAACUGGAAAAGCUCUUUGAAAGGACCAGUUGGGAUAUCACGACCCUCAAGUUUUCCUUGAAGAUGACAGUAUAGAUCGCUGAAAAUCAUAGGCAUCAACUCCUUUCCUCCACUAGAAAUAGAACCCAAUAGAUUGUAAGCAAAAUGUGAAACAGUGGUAAACCUUUUGAAUAACAUGAGAACGAAUAAUUAAAGAUUAAGGAGAAGCACUGCCGACUGUAGAUUUAAGAAAGAUAAAUGUGCUACUGAAUUUGAAAAUUAGCAAAGAAAUGCUGGAAAAGCAAAAAUGUAAGAAAUAAUGGUCUUACCUAUAACCAAGUUUUGAAUAUUGCGCCAACAACUCAGAAAAAGCAGGUUGAGCACAAAGCUGUCAGCAUAUUGUUAAACAAGCAACAGAUUCAGAUAUGACAAGGCCUUGAAAGGUGUAUUGAAAAGACCAAAGAUAUAGAUCGAUCCAAAAGAGAGGAACUUACAGUUUCUGAUAUGAGUUUGAUCUUCUCAACUAAAACCAUAGACAAUGCUCCUGCGCCAGAUGUUUCCAGUUUCACAAUCAAAUGCACAAUAAGUAAAACGGCAGCAACCUAUCAAUGCAGAAAAUGAGAAACAUUUAAAACUUCUAAUUACUAUUUCUGAAAUAUGGAGGCACCUAAGCAAAAGGUGUAAAGCGUGGUGAAACUCUACUGAUUGUGCUUUAUAAGUACUACAAAUGAACGCCACAUAAAUCUCAAUGAACAUAGUUCAAUAAGAAGUCCAGUUCAAAGAAAUACGUGCCUUUGCUUGGAAGUUUAUUUCACUUUCACCAUCUAAGGAAGAAACUGACUGGAUAAUGCCAUCCAAAACAGAUAUGUCACACCAUUUUGAAAAGAUAUCCUUGGGAUCUGAAUCAGCUGUCCAAGUUAAUUUGGGUGGAGAUACUCCAUUACUUGCUGUCUUUUUAGUCUCCACACAUGGCUUUUUAAGUGACUCCGCAAACAGCAACUUCUUGUACAAAAACAUGUUGCAAGCCAUAAUUUCCAAAACAGAAGCCUGACACUGAUAUUUCACUAACAAUUUCGAGAUUUCUUCCUUGCCUAAACUUCCAACCGUCGAAUCUUUUAUCUUAGAAGCCUGUGAUAUAAUGUCGGAAAAUUCCUGCCACAACUUUUUUGACGCCUUAAACGGUUCCAGCAUAUUUGCGUAUUGGCCAGCCUCUUGCCAAAGGGUUUUCAGGAAAUCAAGUAAACCCAGUAAUAUAUCUGUGUGUCUGGAAAAGAUGAAACCAUCACGUAAAUAUUACAGGCCAUCUAGAAGAUCUCAUACAGAAAUUCAGUGUAAUUAGAAGACAGAUCGAAACAAAAUUAGCCUUCGAAGUACCUAUCGACAAAAUCGGUUGCUCUCUCUACAUAUUGCAGGAUAGUGUGCAGUAAGCGAGAUUUACAAGCCCAGUCAGGAAUUGAGGAGGCAUCUUUGCGCGACUGUUUUACGUUGCUAGAAUCUGAGUCUUCGUCUGAAUCAAAUAUGGCCACUAAAAGAGCAGGCUGAAGAAAAAAGAUAAUAAUGAAACAACUUUUCAGUAUGAUGAAACUGGAGAAUCUAAAUGAUUUCAAGAAGAAAAAUUGCGUAGCACAAAAAGCAAUUUAAAUAACCCUGAAAGCCUGUGACAAGAAAAUCAAAGAAUGGGAAGCAACCUGAAAUCUUGCCGCAACAGUUAGUAGUUUCAAGGUGGCAACGACUAGAUGCUCAUUUUGUCCCGAUAGAUCAAGUACGAUCUGGGUAACCGAAUUUCUUAAAUCUGUAAUCUAAAUAGAAAACUAUCAUUGAUCCUUACAUAUAGACAGCAGAAUAUACUACAUGAACAUAAUAGAUAACGGAUAAGAAAGAUAUCAUACUAACCUGUUUAUUGUCUAGACCAAAGCCUGCAUUGCUUAUUAUAUAGAGUUGUGAUGAUUCUGCCAAGGCAAAUAACUUUGACAGCACUUGAGCAGCACAAACCUGUAUAGUCUGCAGGAAAUAUUUGAUUUUUAGACAUGUGAUUGGUCAAAGCAUCAACUUCUACGAAUUUGGAUGAAAGUCCAUACAGGAUUGCGGAAGUAAGAAAUCAGUGAUGUGAUAGCUGCAACAACUGAGAUUGGUUUUGUUGUAGAUGACAGCAUGGCUUGAUGAAACACAGGAAGACCAGAAUGUGUACUCUGCAACAACUUAUAGCAAACUAUCAAAUUCCAGAAUGCCUGGAAGGAAAUCGUGUAUGACCACCCACAUAUUUAAGUGAGAGAAAAAAGUGUUCAAAAAAUCGCUAGCCAAAGCAAUAUUCGAUGUGUGUUUGCAUUUUGUAUGCAAAAUUUAAGAGAUUAAUCAAUUAUUUUGAAAAACAAUUCAAUGGGAAAUAGUGAUCAUUGUGAUGUAUCAUGUACUUGCAAAAGCUUUCAAGAAGGUCAGAGGUAAGACAACGCUUUUACCUCAGAAAAUUGGGAGAGUAUGACGUUCAAAACAUCCAAAACAGAGACUAUAGCAAGUUGCCAUCCUUCAAUCUCUGCUGGUUCAAUAAAACGGCUCGAACAAAGGUUCUUUUACAAUGAAACAUAUCAGUAAAUCAAUUAAAGCACAUCAGACCCAUAGGAAAGUAGAAGAACUAUUCCAGUAUAUAUACAAACCUCUAAAUUUUGCGUAGUCGUACAAAUUAUUCUGAAAAGAGCACUGUGAACAGAGGCAUCGUUCAGUAAAAUAUCAAGGAGAACAUCCCUCAGCUUUGUGGAGAAUUUACUGAAUCUGAGACACGUUUUCAUCAACUCGAUGACCUGCAGGAACGGAGGAAAAGAACAAAAAAGACAUAUUAAAAAAAAGCAAGACACAUCCAACGCAUAUUUUCGAACAGAAAAAGGUAUAGCUAAUAAUUAAGACAUACUUUUAGUGUCACUUUCCAACGCAUAUUUCCAUGAUUGUAUUUCCAAUACUCAUGGCUAGCAAGAAUAUACUGCAACGAGAAAACAACUAGAGCAAAAACUACAUCAUUCUCUAGUCCCCCCUCCACAAGUUGCAUGGUAAAUUCCAGAACUGCAAGGGAUAAAACAAAUCACAUUAUACAAUAUAUAGAGAGUCAAGACAUAUCCAAGAACUGUGAGCCCACAGUUGAUUUAGAUUUCGCACUAAACAGAAUUCUGCCGCAGACUUGCCUGAUAUGACCAAUGGGCAGCUGGUAUCAUUCUUCUCGCAGUCAAUCAAGAUCAUCUUUGCAAGUUUCCCAGAGAGAGACCAAGAACCGCUUUUUAAAAAAAAAACAGCGGAAAGAGUAAAAAAAAGGUCAGAUGCAGCCAGAGAAUGCACAAAACGAUGAAGUAAAAUAAAUGAGAAUUUUAAGAAGCCUUGUUAAAGCCUUGUUACUAAAAAGAGAUAUUCCUCAAAAUAAAAGCUAAGAAAACACUAAAACAGUACUUUCGACAAUGUGCCUCAUUACAAACAAUAGAAUGGUUCCUAGUAAUUAAUAGGAUUUGUCGAUGAUCUACGAAGCAUUCUUGUGAGAGUUUGUCUUUUUGGGAGAAGCAUAUCAAGUGUUGGCAAUGUGUUAGAGAUUACUUCCUUAUGGAUAACCGAUGAUUCUAAAUAAGAAGAAAAACUAAAAUCUUCUAGGCGUGGUAAACUUCAAUGAGUAUAUUAUAUAAUUAUGGGUAGGAUAUAUUUGAAAAUGAACAAACUUAAAAAAGAGCCAACCUCAAUGAAAUAUUAUAGCCACUGUCAGGGACGUCUGAACAUGAAGUCAUGUCAAAUAUAUUUGACUUUAAGACCAUGGGAGCAACACUUGACGGGGAACUGCUCAAAGAGUAAAAUAAAAUUAGCUAUCAAUGUUCCAGAGAGAAGUGAUACCGAAUUCCAAACUAUACCAUAUAACAAGACAUUGCACAUGACAUGUAAUAUUAUGACACGCAUUUGCUAGAAAAGAAAUACUGAAGAAAAAAUUGAUAACCAAGACAGCAAAAGAAUAAGCAUUACAACAAAAAUUACCAUCGCAGUAGUUUAGCUAAGAUAUCAAUAGCCAUUGCCAUCACAGCGGCACCGCCAGAGUCAAAAGUCAGGCUUCUGACUGAAUUACAAAUUAUAUCAACCACCCUGGAACAAAAAAAUCCCUGUUCAAGUACUCCGGAAGAGAGCAUGUAAGAAAGAAAUAAAAAUGCAAAUACUUCACCUCACAUCACUUUCCAUCUUCCCAUUCACAUAAGAUUCUUGAACAUAAAAGAAGUGGCUGAUAUUCAGUAAGGAGAAACAUACGGCCUGAAAUCAAAUUACAGAACCUGGUCAGAGAAGUAAAAAUACGGAUGCAUAGCCUUCAUUCAAAUUUUGAGAACGGUCAGAGAAGAAUUGAUUCAAAGGCAGAAAAGCCAUAGACUACUUCAUGGUGUACAAAUACUAAAGCAAUCCCUACUUCAUAACCUGGAUAAAAAUGAAAAUGGAGCAAUGCAGUUACCUUGUUAAAUGUCACCAUCCGACGAAGUAGCUCCAGAGUCACAAAAGCUUCACGAUUGUUACCAAUGUAGAGUUUAUUGGCCAAACGGAUGAUCAACACAAUUAUGCCGGAUAGCGAAUACUUGGAAAGGAAAAUGUAUUUCAUGAAUCAGUAAGACCAUAAAAAAUAUAACAUUGGAGGAGUCUAUGAAUAAGGUUUUCAAAGAAUGAUGAGAUCACUUACCUCCCACCGUACAAGGACAGUAUUUUCACUGAUUACUCUCAGAAUUCGCCCACGAGUAUUACUGGGAAUAACUAAACCUUCGAGACCUGGAAUAUGCAACGGCCGGGAAGUUUCAACAAGUUGAGAGGCAUCAUCCGCUGGAGAGUCACUAGUAAUAUCAAAUAAGGUUGAUACCCCGACUGAUUUAUCCAGAAAGUUGUAUCUGCACAAAAAAAAAGAACAGCAGAUUGCAGGAGGGUGAUGGUUUGAAACCAGUAAAUAAGAAAUUCUGUACUGAGACAAGAAAAGAAGCUUAGAUUGAUGAAUGCAAAACAUUGCUCUCGUCUACAUAGAAAAGUUCCAUAUAAAAGUACAUAAACGCAGAUAGUAUAUUGUCCAGUUCAUACUUACACACAUUCAGCAGGCCAACUUCCUUCACUCAGGGACGACAAGAGGCGAAUGAAUUCAGCACUUCUGAAUGGAAAUUCACUCUCCAGAUCAAAGAGGAGACACCGGAUAGGGCCAUCAACAAAACUUUUUCGAUCCCAAAACUGACAACAGAGGGACUCCUGAAUAAUUAAGCACACAAUGAGCAUUUAUGGAUGUCUAACAUAGAGGAAAAAGCUAGGGACAACAUGCAUAUAUGAUUUUUACCUCUCCUUGAUAAACCUUAGAGAGGAUGUCCAGUAUCAACUCGAGGGUGCCAUCUUCCAGCUACCAAAAAUGUAAAGAUGACUAAGACUUUUAAACACUUCAUAAUUAUAUAAUUUAUCAUCUCUAGAUAAUAGAGUUUUACCUGAAGAUUGAUCUCAUAAGAUGCAAUAAAUGCUGAAAUAAAAGUCCUCACGACACUACGAUGACCAGAAAUUGGUCCCUGGGAAAGUGAAAAGUAAUGAUAGAAUCAGCAUAGGGAAGGAUACCAUGAAUAAAAUUUGCAGAGGAUUGGUGAAAUAGAUCUCACACCAUUAUUUGAUAGAAAAAUAAGUGCCAAUCUCAAGAAAACAGACAAAGUUAAGCACGGUAUCUAGAAUUUUAAUCUCGUAACUUACAUCGAAAUCAUUCAAUAGAUUACUUUGAAGGAUUUCAAGGAAAUAGCUCAAGGAUGCUGCCUCAAAGGCUUGAUGAACAUAGCUCACGUGAUCAAUAUCCUGGUAAUCAAGUAAGAGUAAAUACAUAUAUAUGAACAAUGUGUCCUCUGACUAGGUAAUGGAAGUAUUCUCACUUUCAUACCAUCAGGAAAGGACUUUCCUCCUUCCCAGGAAGAGAUGAAAUAAGACACAGGAAUACUGCCCAUGCCAGGACGAGAGGUCCUGCUUCGUUUACUUCAGAAGUGUUAAGGCUUGAAAUUGUUGCAUCCAUCUCUUGAACGUCAACAAUGGAAAAGACACAAGUGCCAGACCUUAUAAGAAAUAUAGAACCUUUAGACAACAUCGACAGAUAUUCAGGAGAAAGUAGGAUAAGACAAAUUGCUGGUUUUGUAUCCUAUUUGAAGAAAGUUUGAGACUAUUUGUGCAGUGUCCUCGCUAAUUAGUUAAACAAACCUGAAAGGUACUCCGUCGUGAACCAUUUGUAACAGAUUCUCCAUAUCCAAUGUUUCUAUAAGAAUCAUCAGCAACUGAAUUUGAACACGACAUGCAGAAUGUUGUGCUUCAACUGACACAGCCAGCUUGCUAAAAUUAUAUGAACCUGAAAGAAUCCCCUGCAACACAGCACUUAUAAGUAAAUAAGGUUGGUUACAGAAAAAACGGAACCAGUCUCAGGCAUGUGGCUAGUGACUCGAGAUACCUUGUAGAAAGAACACAGUUUUCUCCAUCUUUCUCCAUUACAAGAGCAAUAUGAUUCAUUGUAAAUAAGGAAAAGAAUAUCCAAAAUCAAAUUAUCUUCAAUUAGCGUCUCCUCCGCCCACAAAGUGAAUAGAUUGACAUCCUAUCAAAAACAAAACUAGAGAAAAUCAAAUUUGGACCGAAACUUAGUGUCUCCUCCUCAGUGCCUUAACAUCAGUAUAAUUUAAGAUCCUACAUAGAAUAAGAUCAAAUGAGAUGUUAAGAAGGGCUAGAACUCAGAGCACAUACCAUAUUCUUUGGAAAACAAGAGGACAAAAGGUCCUCAAGAACGGAUGAUUGUCGUCUUUCAAGCCCAUCUGAGAUCAGCUUUACAGCUUCUUCCUUAAUUGAACUUUCCUCUCUUGGCGCAUAUACUGAACAAAUUCUACAAUCAGUUGAAAAACGAGACAAAAAUGGACAAAAGUGUGGGUGGAAUUUUAGAAGCGUAACCCCACCAUCGGAAAAUAAGCUUUUGUUUUCAUUAACAGCAACUAUUUGUUAAGACAUCAGAAACUAGAAGAGACUAGGAAAAUAGGGAACAACAAAAUAACGACUUACAUGCAUGUAUGAGAAUACGCUUUGUACACUUUAGUAGGCACUGGCGCUGUAUGUAAUACUGAAGCAGUAUCUUCAAGAAUAACAUUAGAAUAGAAGGACAGCAAAAGUGUUAGCAAGAAAGCUGAAGAGAAAAGGGUUGAAAACUGCUUACAUAAUAAAGUCAUUGGCAAAUAUAUACGUAGGACAGGAGCUACAGAGCUUACACUAUAAUGAGCUAUAGAACUUACUAUAGAGAAUCAAAAGUAGAUAAAGCUGGUCCUUUUAUGUUAUUGAUAUGGCCAUGAUAGCGAAAAGCUCCAUAAUACAUAAGUAACAAAUUACAGAAAAAGAAUGAUAGCAUACUGAAAGAGUAUUUCUUGAGUUCUUUCUAAGAAUUUAUAUCAUGAACAACAAUCGGAAUAUUCAAAAGAAAUCUUCUAACCAAAAAACAGGAAACAAAUAUAUUUAAAAAAACUUGUGAAUUCUAACUCAUAGAUCAUCACCUUCACAAGAUUCUACCCAUACAACAAAACAUUGAUUUAUAUGCAAGAAUGAAGACUGAAAAUUCCAAAAAGAAGCUGAGACACGUAAGCUACUAACCAUGUCAAUGAAUUCUUGAGUUAGUUCUUGAGCUACCGAGUCAGUUGUUCCAUAUUCCUGCUCCAUAGAUCUUUCCACGAGGAUGUAUGAUUGGAUUUCAUCUAGAUUCUGGCCAAGAUUUCAAAAAUUCAGAAAAAAAAUUCAGAACCAUGUCAGUUUUUUUCUCCACAUCCAUUCUACUUAUAUAAUCAUUUUCAGAAAACAAAUUCAGAAAUCCACAUCCAUUCUACUUAUAUAAUCAUUUUCACUAAUACAGCAUAUAUAUGAAGCCUACAUGCUUGAUUGAAGACUAUUUUGAAAUAGAUGAUAAAGUUUUCUUUCGAGUUCAAUUGAAAAUUGAAGAGUGGAAAAGAAGCUAACCAGAUGAGAGCUGAUUCGAAGCGCUUUAUCUUUCAAUUGGGGCUUUAUCACCAACUGGUGCUCCUUAAUUUUGACUAGAUCCGAAUUCAAAGCUUCUUUUGAUUUCUCACUCGGUGGCUUGAACAUCGACAGAGUUCCAACGAACCACGCGUGAUUCUCCUCCAACUUCUUCGCCUGAAAUUGAAAGAGCAGACCAAAAUAGCACCAGUAUCCCCCACGAAAACACCCAAAUCGCAUACGUAUAUGAAGAGGAAGAGGAAGAAAGAUAUUACGAUGGGUUGAGGAAGGUCAUCGGAGAGAGAUGCAUUCUCGAGGUCGGUGAGAAGAGAGUCAAACGGAUCCCACCAGAGCGACGAAUCGACAGAAUUAGGGUUCGCCAUUGAAAGAAGUUAGUGAGACAGACACCAGUGAGAGAGAGAGAGAGAGAGAGAGAGAGAGAGAGAGAGAGAGAGAGAGAGAGAGAGAUGAAAUUGGAGCUUUUUGGAUUUUUUUGUUUUUUCGCGCUUUUGAGUAAAUUAUUUCUUCAGGAAAAUAAAAUACCAAUUAGUAAUUCAUAUUGGGCCCUGAAUUCUUCUCUCUUUUUGGGUUUAAUGGGCCCUGAAUUUUAUCCUAUCAGUUUAUCACUAAAGGGCCUAAAAACCCAUCUACGUUUUCCCACUAUUGUAGCCGACAUGUAAAAUAUUUUUCUGUAUGUAUUUUUCAUAUUGUUUAGAAGAUUGAAUUUAUUCGUCAGAUAUAUUAUUAGUCUCAGUGGACUGUCGACAACGUAUGGAUAGGUGAUUGAUUCACCAGUAGGGAGCAAAUAAAACUAGGCUUAUGCGAAUAUCUUAUGAAAGAUCUGCCUUUCUUUUACCAUCUCCCAUUUUUUCACCUUUUUUACAAAAAAUGUACGUAUAUAUUAAUCUCCCAUAUGUUGUCGCUUAGUGACAAAAAUAUGGUCAAAAACGUUUAUGCGCGCGAAAACGCAAGCAAGUUUUUUCUCCCGAGGACUCUUUAACGCAAAAUUCUUGUUGAUCAUCUCAUGAUAAAAGAGAAACGUAUCAUUACCAUAUUAUUGUUGGAAGAUUGCGGGAAUAUAAACAACCAGUCUACACAAAGAGAACUCAAAGCCAACAAAAGAAACAAGAUAUAAAACAUAUGCAAAGAUAAAAUAUUAAAAAAAGGCAAACACGUUGAUUAUACAUGAGUAUACGUAUAUCUAUAUAUACGUAUUUAAUGUUUCUCAAGGGUGUGGAGGCAACGGAGGCCAUUUCCCGAACUUGGGGUGGUGAAUGUAUUUAGGAGGAAGAGGUGGAAACUUUGGAAGUGGUGGGAGCUGUGGAAGUGGCGGACAUGGCUUCUUUGGAAUCACCACUACCGGUGGUUUGUAUACUGGUACCGGCGGAGGGCAUGGCUUCUUGGGGAUCACAACCGGUGGUUUGUAUAUUGGUACCGGCGGAGGACACGGCUUCUUCACAAUUGGUGGUAUGUAGAUUGGUGGAUGCUCUAUCUUCGGCGGCGGCUUGUAAACCGGAACUGGAGGUGGGUGCUCUAUCUUCGGCGGUGGAAUGACUAUCUUUGGCGGCGGCUUGUGGACUGGAACCGGCGGUGGAUCAACUUUCUUAGGCGGACAAGGCUUCUUCGUUGGUGGUUUGUGGACUGGCACCGGCGGUGGAUCAACUUUCUUAGGCGGACAUGGCUUCUUCGGUAGCUUGUGUACCGGAACGGGAGGUGGGUGCUCUAUCUUUGGCGGGGGCUUGUAAACCGGAACCGGAGGUGGCUUCUCUAUCUUUGGCGGUGGCUUGUAAACCGGAACCGGAGGUGGGUGCUCUAUCUUCGGCGGUUUAGGUGGACAAGGCUUCUUAGGAAUAGGCGGUGGAAGCUCCACCUUUGGUGGUGGCUUGUAAACUGGGACAGGUGGUGGAACCUCUUUCUUAGGCGGUGGAUCGUAAACCGGAACCGGCGGGGGAAUCUCUUUCUUUGGCGGCGGCUCGUAAACUGGUACCGGGGGUGGAACCUCCACAGGAGGACUGUAUUUAGGUGGACAUGGCUUCUUGAGAAACGGUGGAAGUUCCAAAGGUGGAGGUAAAGGGAAAGGAUGAUCAAAGCCCUUAAAAGGAGGCAACUUAGGCAUAGGCCAGAAGAAUUUGGAAACGCAAAUCUCCGGUGAAAAUUUCAGAUUUUGUUUGAGACCCAAAAUGUGUUUAUCCCCGGAUUUGGAUAAAAACACGAUCUUGGUGGACUCAAGGCCGUCGUGAGCCGGACAAGGUGUUCCCGCCGCGCUGUGAAGCUGAGCGUAACACUCCUCCUUUAACGCUCCGUUGUCGGAGACAAUGUCAUGAGGAAUAUUAAGACCAAACUUUCCUUUGUCGUCAAUGUUUCCCGAACCUUUUGUAACAAAAUGGCCUUUAUUCACCUUACAGUCGAUCGUCACUCGAAGUCCUAUAACAAAUAAUAUCACACAUUGAUCAAAUAUAUAUUCACAAAAAAAUAAACUAUAUAGUACAUAAGAUAUUAAUGUAAGUUAUGAGAUACCUGAAAAUGCAUGGGGGGUUUUGAUCUUGCUCUCGGCGUAACCGACAACUUCGACGACACGAGCGAGUGAGAGAGUCGCUGAUAAGAGAACCGACACAAGAAGGAGAAGACACGGAACCGAACCUCGAGGUUCGGGUAAGAUCCUCAUUGGGAUUCUCACCCUCUGAGAUUUCUGACACACUUCCCUUUCGUUUGCUGAAAAUAUAAAGAUUAUAAGAAGAACAAAAACAAACUAUAGAGUAUUAGUGGGGAAGGUGAUGAUAUGAUUAUAGUGAGACUUCUUCUCGUUUAUAUAAUGGUCUUAUCAAAGAUUUUUCUGAAGAUUGAUCGUAAUAAUUACUUCCGAAUUAAUUAACGUUUAGUUUUUUUUUUUUUUACCAACAAUAAUUGGAUUCGGCGGUUCCUAUUAUUUUGUAUUGUGUAUCAUUUAUUUAAUGUCGUCAUGGUCCAUCUUCUCGUUGUUACUUUCGUCUAUGCGGCACUUUAUGAUAUUUUUCAUGCAGGGUGGUUGAAACACAUUGACUUUUUUUUCCUUAAUACGACAACGGCAUUCAAAUUUUAUUUUUUGUUUCCCUCAUCAACGUUAUUGCACGAGACAUAUGCGUACAACUUUUGACACACGAAACUUUUGAUCCGCAAAUAUGGUUAAUUUUAUUGUUAUAGAGAUUGCAGGAUGAGCAUGCAUAUACUUUUUUUUUGUUUCACACACACGCUAUGGUUGAAAAAAGAAACUGAAUUAAUCAGUGCGUGUAUACGGCUCCACCAACCCAAAAUUGAAGCGGAUCACAUUAUGGUUAGAAGAGAAACUUAAAUGUUUUUAUGGAAAAAAUAUAGUCAGUCACACUACUUGUCGGCUUAUAUUUCUUGUCCACUCCGUAUAUAUUUAAGUAAUUAUUUUACCGGAAAUCCAUUACAAUGCUAACAAAUAUUCUUAACAUUUGCAGUUAUGCACGCCAUGAUAUCUACUGUUUUAACCGUAUAUACAUAACAAUAAAAUAAAGUAGCUAGUAGUAAUAAACUAACGAAAUUUGUCAGAGAAGAGGACUGAUAUGAUUUAUUGGCAUUUGGUUAGAUGGAGAUAGAAGUUAAUAUCUAUCAUCAAUCUACUUCGUCUCUGAAGUUAAUUGGCAAGGCCCUUCAAUAAAAGCAGCCAGCUCAAAAGCCUACUAGUAUUUGUUCCUUUUUCUUUUUUUUUUCUGGACAAGCUAAGCUAACUACUAUUUGUUCAUUUUAAUUUGAUGAAAAGUGUAUACGUAAACGUUUGAUUACUAAAUCUCGUUUUGUUCGAAAUGAAUAGAAGAGUUAAAGAACACUUAUGGAAUAUGAGAACGUAUCAACUUGAUAACAAAUAAGAACGCAUAGCACUUUUACAAAUUCAACUUUAUAUAUAGUACAAGAAUUCAGCUACAUAUGUAUCGCCGUAAUUUUCUCUGAAAACUAUUAUAUAUUGUUUUUACACAAAUGACCGAUAUCAAAUGUUGAAAUUCAAAACUUUCACCCACUCUUCAUUGCUAGUUGCUACUAAAUCCUUACACGUUCUUAUGCAAAAUUAGCAAUAUUAUCUGAUGUCGCAAAAUUGACAUGAUGCAUAUAUAUAUGGGUGCAUGCAAUGCAAUAGCUAGUCCGACUUUCGAAUCGAGAGACGACCUGAUUAGAUAUAUAAAAAGAUAAACUACAGUCCUGACUGCGUUCUAGGUGUUAGAAACUUACAACGCGAACUAGAAAUACAGAAUUGAGGAUUAUAUGUGAACGAUAUCAUAAUGUUGGUUGCCAUAUUAAAAGCUACACCUACUCAUCCACGCCCAUUAAUACGGUGGCUUUGGACAGUUGUACAAUAAGAGGUUCAAGUUUAAAGUUAUUAUUGUAUAUUCAUUUUCUGGUAUACAGAAGAAAUAUAUACUUUCAUAAUGUACACAUAAUCGCUAAUAAGGCCCAUUCUUAAAUGUACGUAAAAACAUGUAUUCAAUAGCCUAAUUGUGUAGAUGGUGAGUGUAUAUAGUCGAUCGGGGUAUAACCUAUAGCGACUAUCUAUGCUUCCUUUAUAAAAAUAAAUAUAUGAUCGCUAAUUUAAGCAAAAACAGAUGUGUCUUAUGGAAAAUUCUUUUUCCAAUAGAUAUCUAAUUAUAUAGAGCUUAACUUUUUUUUUUUAUAUUGCAUUUUGCUUUAUGUAUACUAUUAUGAUGUAUAAUAACAUAGUUAAAUAUGCUAUUUAUAAUGAAAACACAACCUUAUCGUGUGUUUUAGCAAAACAAAUCACAAAUUGUCUGUACACAAAAAAUGUUUUUUUUUCAAAACAUUCAGAGUUAAAAUUACAGUAUGUGAUAAAACACUUGAAAGUUAUGUGCGUAUAAAACAAUCAAUGUAUAAUAUAUAUGGAUUUUACAGCCCUAUGUAUAAGAAAGAUAAACCCUAUAUAUAUUAGGUAGCAAACUAGCAAUAAUAAAUGAAGUGAGAAAGAAAAAAAGUAGCAAGAAAAUAAAAAGAUCUAAUUUUUGGGCAACCAAGGAUAUAGUCCCACAUGGUGUGAGUUUUGCGAUAUUAGUUUUGUUAGGUGACAUGCGAUAAAUAUGUGAACUGUAUAUGGUUCCCCACAUUGAUUAAAUCGAAAAUUGUUUUAUGUAUGUAUGAAAAUUUGUUUUUUUUCUCUCCAUAUGUAUGAGGCGUACGUAAAAAUAUCCCGACGAAUGCAGAUCUGGAUGUUGACAUAUUCUCUGAAUAUACAGUUACAUUGUUUAUAAAAACUCACAUAGAUAUAUUGAAUGUAAAGGACAAAAGGACCCAGAGAUUUUUACUACUUGUAGAAGUAAAACACAAAGGUUGGUGUCCAGAAUUGUACGGAUGGAUUGAAAAUGUGCGAAAUAAUAUAUAAAUGCUACUUAUCUAACAAAAGUAAAACAAUGUUGAUACAUCUUAUAUCUGACAAUGUCACCAUGGGUGCAAUGAAUUCGAAUUCAUACCCAACUCGAAGCUAUAUGUACCAAAACAAAAUCGACUGAGGUUAUUCAAGUCAUUUUUUAUUUAAUCAUGUAACUCAAUUUGUUGGAAAGUUAAUAUUAAUUUUUGAAUAGAGACAAAUCUUUUCAGUCUAAUCAUUAACAAUUUGCAAACUCAAUAUACACCAUACAUCCAAAAAAGUCUUAAGCAAAAGAGUCAUCACGAUCGAGGUCACCAUCCUCCUCCAUUUUGCUGAACUGGAGGAAAUGAGUGGGUCGAUGGACUUGGUGAUAGUAUUCCUUGGGGGUUCCGAGUGUCAAGCUGUAGUUUAUGCUCACCGUGUGAUUCGCUCCCAUGAAGUUGUAGUUCCAGGGUCCGUUCUCAGGAACCUAUCAUUCAACAAUGUCUCAUUAUUUCAGUGCUAUAUAAUAAAAUAAUAUCUAUCAAUCAAGGGCAAACACACAAAAAUCAAGGGGUUACUGUGUGUUCUCACCAUGUAGAACCCGAAGAAACGGUCACUCAAGAGCAUUUGGACCUUCUCGUAGUGGGUGGGAAGGUAACCGUGGGGAUUGCUGCCUGUGUCUUUGUUCAGCCGUCCCCAUUCAUAUCCGGCUUGCGUCAGCUUAUAUGACGUCAAAGAGCAUGAGCCCGGAGUGAAACUACAUGUCAGGAUGAUGCAUUUUUCUGCGUCCCAUUGCUUGUUGUUCUCCAGAACACGAGUGUGAAAAGUCACAUCCUACAGCAGCACAAAAAAAACCCAGUUAUUACGUGUAAAAGUUCGUAAGAAAGUAUAAAUAUAUAUGCAUACCUGUGGUGACAACUGAGGAAGCUCGUUAGGCUGUGUGUGUAUCCAUCCCAGGGGCUCUAAAUCAUCCAAGAACUGAUGUUCCGGAAGAGACGACGGCAGUUGAACUUGCUGGUGAUUUCCGCAUUGUGGCACCAUCACAACACAACGGAUUUCCUUCACUUGAGGAUUAUCCGGCGGACUUAUCCCAUAUAAAUAUCCAGCAAUUUGAGUUCGAAGAUCCGCUAUGCAUAUAAACUUCUUCAAUAUGUUCUUUGGCAUGAUGUAGGUGUAUCCAGUUUCCUGUGAACAACAAACAAAUAAGUUUUAGGGACUUUACUUAUUAAUUUGAAUAAGCAAGUCUGAGCGAAUUACCUUUAUGUCAUCUGAGUUCACGUAGAUGUGGUUGACCCUGAGGUAGAGGUUAGUAGCUGAAAUUGCGCGCACACGCCAGUCUGUUUUGGAUCCGAAUGCAGAUUGCUCGUACGGACUAAUGGUGGUGCUAAUCAAUUCAUCACCAUGAACAUUUGUGGUUCUUGUUGUGACUGCAGUAAGCUGGCUCGCUUCCUUUGCCUGCAGGAGGAAACAUAUUCUUUUUAGAGUAACCAAAAUAAAUCUAAUUUCUGAAUGUCCCUGUUUCAAGAACCCUUGAGAGAAGUGACAGUUACAAGUACCUGUUUCUCAAUCUCAGCUAUCUGUUGCCUCUGCUGAGACGGUGGAGUAAUCUCCGCUCCAAGUAUUAUAUCUCUUAUCUCUGAUUGUGUCAGAGCUGAUGUAUUUACUUUGUUCUUCUUCGCGUAGUCGGAAAGGAUGAGAUCUCUAAGAGCAACCUCCACCUGAAUGUAACAAUGAAUCAUCUGAUGUGAGUAAGGAAGGAGGAUAACAACUUCACUAAACAAAGAAAAGAGUUACUUGAUUUUUAUUCAAAAAUAAGUAGAAACUGCAGAUGAAAAGACCAAGCGGUCUAAUCAGAAAAUACAACGGAACACUACUUGAAAGGUGGCGCAAGGGUUACCUUCAUCCAUUGGUCGUCAGUGAGAGAAGGCCAAAUGUGAUUUGGCUCAGUGACAACAGACAUGUCAGGCUUCAAUAACAUCUUUGCCUUCUCAUUGUUUACGUGAAGAGCACGAAGGAUCAGGAUGAGUCUUUGAAAGGCAGUGUACGAAGAAACAGUCAUCAACCAAUCAUCAUAGAUAUUGAAGAGGGCCAUCUGCGGCUCUGUGGCCUUCAAAAUCAGAUCACCAAAUUUUUCUAUCUUAAGACAAGCCUGGAACGGAAGCUGGAGUUCACUUCCCUUUAUAACAAUGUUUGGGAAAUCCAGCAGAUGAACCUCAAGGGGAUCCAACAUUCCUUUACGAGUCACAAUAACUUGUUUUGGCUGUUCUUCAACAGGGAGAGACCGCACAAGUGCAGCGACCUCUUCAGCAGUUUUCCAUUUUGCAAGCUGACCAAGGCGCUUCUGCCCAGCCCAAACGCUUGUAUGAAUGAUCUAGUGAGACAAAGAUCCCCAAUGGGUGUUAUUAUAGUUUUUUCAGAUAAAACAGCGGCUACGUAUUACAAUACAUUUACAUGUUACUAGUGGAAUUUAUGGGAGAGAAAAUUACCUUAAGGAAUAGUUGCCCUGUUCUUGGGUUGAAAAUAAAAAUCACACCAUUGAUUGGCUUUGUUGUUAGAUUUCCUUCAAAUGUCUUGUGGAUUGUGACACGGUAUACAUUGGUAUCAUCAACAAACCAUAUGAUCUGAUUGCUGAAUAUUUCACCAUAGUUUUGAGAUGACAGAUAUGGCUCUGUAGGCUCAGAUGAGUACAACUGCAAACCUUUCCUUAUCCUCUCUCUCAACACGUAUAGAGCGGGAUUUGACUGUAACAUUUAAAGUUUACACAAUAAGAGUCACAUAUGUAAAAGCCAAAUAAAAAUAAGCACACCACGAAUAGAAGUUCUAGUACCUUCAUGAUCUUGUUCAUUGCUUGAGCAAGCAGAGGUUUGGAACCAGGGAACCAAUUACCAAAGGCGGAAUGCAAGUUGUAGGCCAAAUCAAGCCCAAUAAUUACACCUGCGAUGAUUUCAUCAGGAUAUGAGACUUACUGCAGAAAAAAAUAAAUUGACAAACUGAAAAAGGCUAUUAAGUACCCGUUGGAGAUGGAUAGAUAGACAUGUUGUCCGUUGUGUAAUCCAUGAAUUUGGCCUUAGUAUAGCGUUCAAUAUCAUGGGAGUCAUAAUCUCCCCAUCGAAGUUGCACAUCUAUCCAGUACUUGUUACUCGCUUUCUGAUCAAACACAUCCUUGGACUCAGCGAUUAGACUAGGCUUAGACAUUGGCCAUUUAUGGGCAGCAAACAGAAGAACAUCAGCACAAGAGCUAUUCAUUUUGUAACUCUUCCGUGGAUGAAUUGUCUCUUUCUGCACAGUUUCUAUCUCCAAAGGUUCCAACUCUUGAUCCAGUACUUGGCAAAGGUCCAUAACAACACUCUCAUGGAUUUUUUGCCACAAAUGAGCACGGAAUAUCUGAAUCAAAGAUAUUUUAAGAGUAGGAAUCUUUCCGUGCAUAUAUAUUCCUGUCAAAUCCAACUGCACUUGGAAACCCACAUACACAUUCGCUCGAUUAAUUGUUGGCGACCACCAGAGCGUGAAUCUUCUAUUCGGAAUCUGGUUCAGACCAGACCUCUGUGCAUUUGUCAGUUUCUUAUAUUUCAUAGACUCCUCAAAACCAGAUGCCUUCUCCCAAAAAAGACCCUCCCAAGUUGGAAAGCUGGAUUCAUGUAAAGAAAAUUAUUUUAGCAAAAUUGAUACGGAAAGCUGUGAGCAACAAAACAUCAAAUGUCAAUGUGAAAGAAAGAACAUAAUAAAUUGAGCACGAACGAAAAGCAAGACUCACUAUGUUCCUUUAAAUAAGGUGUGCUCAAGAA
This 60837-nucleotide long non-coding RNA is filed under the name Arabidopsis thaliana (thale cress). Its description in RNAcentral is "long non-coding RNA (ATHA_LNC000330)". The record is from RNAcentral. Lineage: Eukaryota; Viridiplantae; Streptophyta; Magnoliopsida; Brassicales; Brassicaceae.